RNAcentral lists this long non-coding RNA (45696 nucleotides) under Brassica napus (rape). RNAcentral describes it as "long non-coding RNA (BNAP_LNC018304)". The record is from RNAcentral. Lineage: Eukaryota; Viridiplantae; Streptophyta; Magnoliopsida; Brassicales; Brassicaceae.
UGGGAACAUUUCCAACCUCAGCCGUGUGUUUGAAGUGAAGCUAGCGAUCAACCGUCUGGCACAAGAGGACAUGGAGUUCACUAAGCACUUGGGGAGGUUCAGGUCCUUAUGGUCAGAGCUGGAGAUGCUGAGGCCGAGCACAACUGAUCCAGAUCAGUUGAAUGAGAGGCGCGAGCAAGACAAGGUCUUUGGUCUGCUUCUCACACUGAACCCGGCCUACACCCAGCUCAUCCAGCACAUGUUAAGGUCAGACAAGCUUCCGGACCUUGAGGAGGUGUGUGCACAAAUCCAAAGGGAGCAGGGAUCUAUGGGUUUGUUUGGAGGAAAGGGGGAGCUCUCUCUUGCCAAUCAAGCAGCUCAUGAGGAUUCAACCGAGGCUCCACAAGCAAACAAGGCGGCUCACGGGAAGUACGAGGACAGGAAGUUCAAUGGCAACUGUGAUCAUUGCAAGAAGCAUGGUCAUAAGAAGAGCCAAUGCUGGAUACUGCACCCACACCUCAAGCCGGCCAAGUUCAUGAAGGAGCGUGAGGGAAGGGCAAAUGUGACUGAAGGUUCAAGUGGAGCUGGCACCAGCAAGAUCAGUGAAGUGGAUGGGCUUGGAGGCAAUGAUGGGAAUGGGAAGUCUCUGGUGGCUUACACAGGCGCUUCAAGCUCCCGCAGCAAUGAUGACUACAUCAAGAGAUCAGACCUUGAUGCCCUCUUCAAAAUGCUAAAGGAAAACGGUAACACUUACGGUUAUUCCUUUGGAGCUUCUAUGAUUGCAUAUAAGGAUGAUCACUUGAUUAGAGAACUAGUAGAACGGUUAGAAGCUAGGAAUGGGUAUAGACAUGCUUACAUUGCUAGAACUGAUAAGAUGCAUCCAUCACUUAGUAAUCUAUGCCAUAAUGCUAAACGAGUAAGUAAACCAUUGAUUGUUGAUUCUGGUGCAUCACAUCAUAUGAUAAGUGAUGAAAACUUGAUUAAGGAUAUAGAACCUACACAUGGUCAUGUGAUGAUAGCAAAUGGGGAUAAGAUACCCAUUAGAGGAAUAGGAAAGCUUAAGCUGUUUAACAAAGAAUCUAGAGCUUUUUACAUGCCUGAAUUCACAUCAAACCUAUUAUCAGUGAAGAAAUGUACUAAUGAUUUACAAUGCAAUGUUAUCUUUAGUCCUAAUGAUGUGAAGUUUCAGGAUAUUGAGAGCAGCAGAUUGAUUGGGAAAGGGGUGACUAAGGGAGAUCUCUAUAUGCUUGAAGAACUCACUUCUGUUCCUGAUUAUAGUUGCUCGUUUACUUCUGCUUCUUUGUUGAAUAAAAAUGCAUUGUGGCAUGCUAGAGUAGGACACCCUCAUGUUAAAGCUUUGAACUUAAUGGUACCAGGUGUUGUGUUUGAGAACAAGGAUUGUGAAGCUUGUAUUUUAGGCAAGCAUUGUAGAACUGUGUUUCAAAAGUCUACUACCGUUUAUGAUAAUUGCUUUGAUCUAAUUCACUCUGAUGUGUGGACUGCCCCUUGCCUAUCUAGAGAUAGUUAUAAGUACUUUAUGAGAUUAAGAGAUCUUUAGAGUGAUUAGAGUAAAGAGAGUGUUUAUAAGGAUUGUGAAGCUUGCAUUUUAGGCAAGCAUUGUAGAACUGUGUUUCAAAAGUCUACUACUGUUUAUGAUAAUUGCUUUGAUCUAAUUCAUUCAGAUGUAUGGACUGCCCCUUGCUUAUCUAGAGAUAGUUAUAAGUAUUUUGUCACAUUCAUUGAUGAAAAAUCCAAAUACACCUGGUUAACCUUAAUUCAGACCAAAGAUAGGGUACUUGAUGCAUUUAGGAAUUUUCAAACUUAUGUAACUAACCAUUAUCAUGCUAAGAUUAAAAUUUUGAGAUCAGAUAAUGGAGGAGAGUACACGAGUCAUGCAUUCAAGCAACACCUAUCACAACAUGGGAUUCUACAUCAAACAAGCUGUCCUUAUACUCCACAGCAAAAUGGAGUGGCUGAGAGGAAGAAUAGGCAUCUCAUGGAAGUGGCAAGGUCACUUAUGUUUCAGAGUAAUGUUCCAAAGAGAUUUUGGAGUGAUGCGGUUGCCACUGCUUGUUACCUGAUAAACAGAACUCCAACCAAAGUUCUGAAUGAGAAGGCUCCAUUUGAAGUUCUGAACAGGUACAAGCCAGCUCUUGAUUACUUGCGAGUCUUUGGAUGCCUAUGCUUUGUCCUCAAACCAGGAGAGAUGAUCAACAAGCUAGAAGCAAGAAGCACUAAGGCUGUGUUCAUAGGAUACUCAGCUACACAGAAAGGAUACAAAUGCUAUGAUCCUAUAGCAAGGAGAGUUCUUGUAUCUAGAGAUGUGAAGUUCUUGGAAGAUAGAGGAUACUAUGAAGAAAAGAAUCAAGAAGACCUGAAGGACUUAACAUCAGACAAGGCCACCACCUUGCGGAUCAUUCUUGAAGGUCUUGGAAUCAGUACAUCCCAGGAUCCGAGGAAUCACGCAACUACACCUCCUGAAGUUGGUUCACCAUCCCACCUUGAUCAUGAGGGAGGAGAGGAGCAUGAGGAGCCUAUGCAAGAGGCCAACCAAGAUGAAGGAGGAGUAGAGAAUGAAGGAGAAGAGAGCAUAGGCUCGGAUGGUCAUGGACAUGAUCAUGGUGUGACACAAACACCUUCUCAAGAUGAAGUGGUAGAAGAACAACAGGAAGAAGAACCAGUUGUGCAGCCACUAAGAAGGAGUACAAGGAUAAGGAAGGAUCCUUCCAGUUGGGUAAACACGAGAGUGUACUACAAUGCCCAAGCUGUGGAGCAUCCUUCUCAAGCCGUGUGCUCCUUUGCUCAAUAUCCAGAAGCACAUUGCGCGUUCAUGGUAAACUUGGAUGAGAAUCACAUCCCAAGAAGCUAUGAAGAAGCAAUGAAAGAUAAAGAAUGGAAGGAAUCAGUUGGAGAUGAGGCAGGAGCGAUGAUCAAGAAUGAUACAUGGUAUGAGAGUGAGUUACCAAAAGGGAAGAAGGCUGUGACUAGUAGAUGGAUAUUCACAAUCAAGUACAAAGCGGAUGGAAAGGUUGAGAGGAAGAAGUCAAGACUAGUUGCAAGAGGGUUCACUCAAACUUAUGGAGAAGAUUACAUAGAAACCUUUGCACCAGUAGCUAAACUCCACACAAUCCGGAUUGUACUAAGCUUGGCUGUGAAUCUUGGAUGGGGGUUAUGGCAAAUGGAUGUGAAGAAUGCGUUUCUACAAGGUGAACUUGAGGAUGAAGUGUAUAUGCAUCCACCUCCAGGCCUUGAACACUUAGUAAAGAGUGGGAAUGUACUGAGAUUGAAGAAAGCCAUCUAUGGACUGAAGCAAUCACCAAGGGCUUGGUACAACAAGUUGAGCACUACUCUGAAUGGCCGAGGCUUCAAGAAGUCUGAACUAGAUCACACUCUCUUCACUCUCACGACUCCCUCAGGUAUGAUUGCUCUCCUUGUGUAUGUUGAUGAUAUCAUUAUCACAGGGAGUGAUAAGGAAGGUAUCAUAGCAACCAAGGAGUUUCUUAAAUCCAUGUUUGAGAUUAAAGACUUGGGAGAAAUGAAAUACUUCCUUGGAAUUGAGAUAUGUAGAUCCAAGGAAGGUUUGUUCAUGUCCCAAAGGAAAUAUACACUUGAUCUUUUGAAAGGUGCAGGUGCUUAUGGAGGCAAGACAGCAAGGAUGCCUAUGGAGGAUGGCUACAAAGUCCCACGAGAGGGGGAGAUUGAAGACAGCAAACCUUAUCAGGAUCCUAAACUCUAUAGAAAACUAGUUGGCAAAUUGAUUUAUCUUACUAUAACUAGACCUGACAUCUGCUUUGCUGUGAAUCAGGUGAGUCAACACAUGCAAGUGCCUAAAGAACAUCACUGGCACAUGGUGGAGAGGAUCUUGAUGUAUCUCAACGGCUCACCUGAUCAAGGAGUAUGGAUGGGCUGCAAUGGAAGCACUGAAGUGGUGGGAUAUUGUGAUGCGGAUUGGGCUGGUGAUAGAGCAGACAGGAGAUCAACCACAGGCUAUUGCACAUUCAUUGGAGGCAACUUGGUGACUUGGAAGAGCAAGAAGCAGAAGGUAGUGUCAUGUUCAAGUGCAGAAGCCGAGUAUAGAGCCAUGCUGAAGCUCACCAACGAGUUGGUAUGGAUCAAAGGCAUCUUGAAGCACUUGGAGAUCGAUCAAGCAACUCCAAUGACAAUGCAUUGUGACAAUCAAGCUGCCAUCCACAUUGCAUCCAACUCGGUGUUUCAUGAGAGGACCAAGCACAUUGAAGUUGAUUGUCACAAGGUGAGGCAGAUGAUUGUGCUAGGGGUGAUCUUGCCAUGUUACACAAGGAGUGAAGAUCAGCUAGCGGAUGUGUUCACCAAGGCUGCAAGACAGAAGACAAUGGAGUCCAUUCACAUCAGGUUGGGCCUCAUUGAUCUUGGGAAGAGAAGGAGCUAAUCCCCUUAGCUGCAAGGUCUUUACUCUUUUUCCCUCAUCAAAGUUUUAUCCCAUUGGGUUUUCUUUGGUGAGGUUUUUAAUGAGGAAGAUCUUGUGGCUGUCCAAGCUUAGACUUAUACAAAGCUAAGCUUGAGGGGGAGUGUUGAGUUGAGCUGAAUAUAUAUGUAUGAAGAGCUAAGGAGUUGAAGAGGAAAGGAGAUGAGGAAGCUUGAGAGAGUUUAGGGAGAGCAUGGUACGGACGUCCGUACAAGGCCGUACAAGCCGUACAGUCCGUACCAUCCAGCAUCGACCAAGACUUACCUUGCAUCAGCCAAGUAACACGGUAACUAAGGUAAAGGGAAGGAACUUACCUUGAGGCAUCAGACCGUUUAGGGAUAAGGUAGAGCGCGCCUUGACAGGCUGGGACAGCUGGAAAGGCAAGAGCAUCUCGGUCCAAGAUGCCAGAUACUCCGCGCAUGUGGAGAAGCUAAUUGGCUAGUCCAAAUGAGCUUAUCCUCUCCUGAUUGACCUCACAUGCUUUAGUCUUCUCUUGAUUUCGAAAACCCUUGUAUGCUCUCUCUAUAUAUUGUAACUCAUCAACCCUAAUGAAGAUUAUGCAGUUUGAGUCUCUCUAAUCUCUUAGACACUAUGCUUUUCUCUUAGACACUAAACGGCUCUAUCUAGUCUCCUAAUCUUUCACAAACUUCUCUUAAUCACUUCCUAAACACUCUCUUUAUUCUGUUUACUCUAAGGAUCUCUUAAUCUCAUAUGGUAUCAGAGCCAGGUUCAUUUGAAUCUGGGGUUUGAUCUUUAGAGAGUUACAAGCUAAACGUCUUUGAAGCUACACGCGAGUAGUCUUGAAGGUGUUGAAGCUGUGGUCCGUUCUAGUUGAAGCUGUGCUACGUUCUGUUGGUUUGCGUGAUUCUAGACUCAAGGUUGGUGUGUACGAAAUCCAAGAUCCAAGUUUUCAAGUCAAGCAAAGAUGGAACAUGGGAUGAACAUGAGGAUGAAGGUAGCGGUUACUUUCAAAGGUAGCAACUACCUUGUGUGGUCUCGGAUGGUGAAGACUGCUGUGGGAAGUAAGGGUUUGUGGGGGCACAUCACAACAGGGGAGGCUCCGAAACUCAUUACUCAGGGAGGAGAUCAAGAAGAGGUCUCCAAUGAAGCGGCUGUGGAGAAAUGGCAACAAGAAGACAUGCUGGUGAUGACGGUUCUACACGCAUCCUUGGACCCAGCUAUCUUGGAUGCCUACAGCUACUGUGAAUCAGCCAAGGAGCUGUGGGACACGCUGAAGAAGGUGUAUGGGAACACUUCCAACCUCAGCCGUGUGUUUGAAGUGAAGCUAGCGAUCAACCGUCUUGCACAAGAGGACAUGGAGUUCACUAAGCACUUGGGGAGGUUCAGGUCCUUAUGGUCAGAGCUGGAGAUGCUGAGGCCGAGCACAACUGAUCCAGAUCAGCUGAAUGAGAGGCGCGAGCAAGACAAGGUCUUUGGGCUGCUUCUCACACUGAACCCGGCCUACACCCAGCUCAUCCAGCACAUGUUAAGGUCAGACAAGCUUCCGGACCUUGAGGAGGUGUGUGCACAAAUCCAAAGGGAGCAGGGAUCCAUGGGUUUGUUUGGAGGAAAGGGGGAGCUCUCUCUUGCCAAUCAAGCAGCUCAUGAGGAUUCAACCGAGGCUCCACAAGCAAACAAGGCAUCUCACGGGAAGUACGAGGACAGGAAGUUCAAUGGCAACUGUGAUCAUUGCAAGAAGCAUGGUCAUAAGAAGAGCCAAUGCUGGAUACUGCACCCACACCUCAAGCCGGCCAAGUUCAUGAAGGAGCGUGAGGGAAGGGCAAAUGUGACUGAAGGUUCAAGCGGAGCUGGCACCAGCAAGAUCAGUGAAGUGGAUGGGCUUGGAGGCAAUGAUGGGAAUGGGAAGUCUCUGGUGGCUUACACAGGCGCCUCAAGCUCCCGCAGCAAUGAUGACUACAUCAAGAGAUCAGACCUUGAUGCCCUCUUCAAAAUGCUAAAGGAAAACGGUAACACUUACGGUUAUUCCUUUGGAGCUUCUAUGAUUGCAUAUAAGGAUGAUCACUUGAUUAGAAAACUAGUAGAACGGUUAGAAGCUAGGAAUGAGUAUAGGCAUGCUUACAUUGCUAGAACUGAUAAGAUGCAUUCAUCACUUAGUAAUCUAUGCCAUAAUGCUAAACGAGUAGGUAAACCAUUGAUUGUUGAUUCUGGUGCAUCACAUCAUAUGAUAAGUGAUGAAAACUUGAUUAAGGAUAUAGAACCUACACAUGGGCAUGUGAUGAUAGCAAAUGGGGAUAAGAUACCCAUUAGAGGAAUAGGAAAGCUUAAGCUGUUUAACAAAGAAUCUAGAGCUUUUUACAUGCCUGAAUUCACAUCAAACCUAUUAUCAGUGAAGAAAUGUACUAAUGAUUUACAAUGCAAUGUUAUCUUUAGUCCUAAUGAUGUGAAGUUUCAGGAUAUUGAGAGCAGCAGGUUGAUUGGGAAAGGGGUGACUAAGGGAGAUCUCUAUAUGCUUGAAGAACUCACUUCUGUUCCUGAUUAUAGUUGCUCGUUUACUUCUGCUUCUUUGUUGAAUAAAAAUGCAUUGUGGCAUGCUAGAGUAGGACACCCUCAUGUUAAAGCUUUGAACUUAAUGGUACCAGGUGUUGUGUUUGAGAAUAAGGAUUGUGAAGCUUGCAUUUUAGGCAAGCAUUGUAGAACUGUGUUUCAAAAGUCUACUACUGUUUAUGAUAAUUGCUUUGAUCUAAUUCAUUCAGAUGUAUGGACUGCCCCUUGCUUAUCUAGAGAUAGUUAUAAGUAUUUUGUCACAUUCAUUGAUGAAAAAUCCAAAUACACCUGGUUAACCUUAAUUCAGACCAAAGAUAGGGUACUUGAUGCAUUUAGGAAUUUUCAAACUUAUGUAACUAACCAUUAUCAUGCUAAGAUUAAAAUUUUGAGAUCAGAUAAUGGAGGAGAGUACACGAGUCAUGCAUUCAAGCAACACCUAUCACAACAUGGGAUUCUACAUCAAACAAGCUGUCCUUAUACUCCACAGCAAAAUGGAGUGGCUGAGAGGAAGAAUAGGCAUCUCAUGGAAGUGGCAAGGUCACUUAUGUUUCAGAGUAAUGUUCCAAAGAGAUUUUGGAGUGAUGCGGUUGCCACUGCUUGUUACCUGAUAAACAGAACUCCAACCAAAGUUCUGAAUGAGAAGGCUCCAUUUGAAGUUCUGAACAGGUACAAGCCAGCUCUUGAUUACUUGCGAGUCUUUGGAUGCCUAUGCUUUGUCCUCAAACCAGGAGAGAUGAUCAACAAGCUAGAAGCAAGAAGCACUAAGGCUGUGUUCAUAGGAUACUCAGCUACACAGAAAGGAUACAAAUGCUAUGAUCCUAUAGCAAGGAGAGUUCUUGUAUCUAGAGAUGUGAAGUUCUUGGAAGAUAGAGGAUACUAUGAAGAAAAGAAUCAAGAAGACCUGAAGGACUUAACAUCAGACAAGGCCACCACCUUGCGGAUCAUUCUUGAAGGUCUUGGAAUCAGUACAUCCCAGGAUCCGAGGAAUCACGCAACUACACCUCCUGAAGUUGGUUCACCAUCCCACCUUGAUCAUGAGGGAGGAGAGGAGCAUGAGGAGCCUAUGCAAGAGGCCAACCAAGAUGAAGGAGGAGUAGAGAAUGAAGGAGAAGAGAGCAUAGGCUCGGAUGGUCAUGGACAUGAUCAUGGUGUGACACAAACACCUUCUCAAGAUGAAGUGGUAGAAGAACAACAGGAAGAAGAACCAGUUGUGCAGCCACUAAGAAGGAGUACAAGGAUAAGGAAGGAUCCUUCCAGUUGGGUAAACACGAGAGUGUACUACAAUGCCCAAGCUGUGGAGCAUCCUUCUCAAGCCGUGUGCUCCUUUGCUCAAUAUCCAGAAGCACAUUGCGCGUUCAUGGUAAACUUGGAUGAGAAUCACAUCCCAAGAAGCUAUGAAGAAGCAAUGAAAGAUAAAGAAUGGAAGGAAUCAGUUGGAGAUGAGGCAGGAGCGAUGAUCAAGAAUGAUACAUGGUAUGAGAGUGAGUUACCAAAAGGGAAGAAGGCUGUGACUAGUAGAUGGAUAUUCACAAUCAAGUACAAAGCGGAUGGAAAGGUUGAGAGGAAGAAGUCAAGACUAGUUGCAAGAGGGUUCACUCAAACUUAUGGAGAAGAUUACAUAGAAACCUUUGCACCAGUAGCUAAACUCCACACAAUCCGGAUUGUACUAAGCUUGGCUGUGAAUCUUGGAUGGGGGUUAUGGCAAAUGGAUGUGAAGAAUGCGUUUCUACAAGGUGAACUUGAGGAUGAAGUGUAUAUGCAUCCACCUCCAGGCCUUGAACACUUAGUAAAGAGUGGGAAUGUACUGAGAUUGAAGAAAGCCAUCUAUGGACUGAAGCAAUCACCAAGGGCUUGGUACAACAAGUUGAGCACUACUCUGAAUGGCCGAGGCUUCAAGAAGUCUGAACUAGAUCACACUCUCUUCACUCUCACGACUCCCUCAGGUAUGAUUGCUCUCCUUGUGUAUGUUGAUGAUAUCAUUAUCACAGGGAGUGAUAAGGAAGGUAUCAUAGCAACCAAGGAGUUUCUUAAAUCCAUGUUUGAGAUUAAAGACUUGGGAGAAAUGAAAUACUUCCUUGGAAUUGAGAUAUGUAGAUCCAAGGAAGGUUUGUUCAUGUCCCAAAGGAAAUAUACACUUGAUCUUUUGAAAGGUGCAGGUGCUUAUGGAGGCAAGACAGCAAGGAUGCCUAUGGAGGAUGGCUACAAAGUCCCACGAGAGGGGGAGAUUGAAGACAGCAAACCUUAUCAGGAUCCUAAACUCUAUAGAAAACUAGUUGGCAAAUUGAUUUAUCUUACUAUAACUAGACCUGACAUUUGCUUUGCUGUGAAUCAGGUGAGUCAACACAUGCAAGUGCCUAAGGAACAUCACUGGCACAUGGUGGAGAGGAUCUUGAUGUAUCUCAACGGCUCACCUGAUCAAGGAGUAUGGAUGGGCUGCAAUGGAAGCACUGAAGUGGUGGGAUAUUGUGAUGCGGAUUGGGCUGGUGAUAGAGCAGACAGGAGAUCAACCACAGGCUAUUGCACAUUCAUUGGAGGCAACUUGGUGACUUGGAAGAGCAAGAAGCAGAAGGUAGUGUCAUGUUCAAGUGCAGAAGCCGAGUAUAGAGCCAUGCUGAAGCUCACCAACGAGUUGGUAUGGAUCAAAGGCAUCUUGAAGCACUUGGAGAUCGAUCAAGCAACUCCAAUGACAAUGCAUUGUGACAAUCAAGCUGCCAUCCACAUUGCAUCCAACUCGGUGUUUCAUGAGAGGACCAAGCACAUUGAAGUUGAUUGUCACAAGGUGAGGCAGAUGAUUGUGCUAGGGGUGAUCUUGCCAUGUUACACAAGGAGUGAAGAUCAGCUAGCAGAUGUGUUCACCAAGGCUGCAAGACAGAAGACAAUGGAGUCCAUUCACAUCAGGUUGGGCCUCAUUGAUCUUGGGAAGAGAAGGAGCUAAUCCCCUUAGCUGCAAGGUCUUUACUCUUUUUCCCUCAUCAAAGUUUUAUCCCAUUGGGUUUUCUUUGGUGAGGUUUUUAAUGAGGAAGAUCUUGUGGCUGUCCAAGCUUAGACUUAUACAAAGCUAAGCUUGAGGGGGAGUGUUGAGUUGAGCUGAAUAUAUAUGUAUGAAGAGCUAAGGAGUUGAAGAGGAAAGGAGAUGAGGAAGCUUGAGAGAGUUUAGGGAGAGCAUGGUACGGACGUCCGUACAAGGCCGUACAAGCCGUACAGUCCGUACCAUCCAGCAUCGACCAAGACUUACCUUGCAUCAGCCAAGUAACACGGUAACUAAGGUAAAGGGAAGGAACUUACCUUGAGGCAUCAGACCGUUUAGGGAUAAGGUAGAGCGCGCCUUGACAGGCUGGAACAGCUGGAAAGGCAAGAGCAUCUCGGUCCAAGAUGCCAGAUACUCCGCGCAUGUGGAGAAGCUAAUUGGCUAGUCCAAAUGAGCUUAUCCUCUCCUGAUUGACCUCACAUGCUUUAGUCUUCUCUUGAUUUCGAAAACCCUUGUAUGCUCUCUCUAUAUAUUGUAACUCAUCAACCCUAAUGAAGAUUAUGCAGUUUGAGUCUCUCUAAUCUCUUAGACACUAUGCUUUUCUCUUAGACACUAAACGGCUCUAUCUAGUCUCCUAAUCUUUCACAAACUUCUCUUAAUCACUUCCUAAACACUCUCUUUAUUCUGUUUACUCUAAGGAUCUCUUAAUCUCAUAUGGUAUCAGAGCCAGGUUCAUUUGAAUCUGGGGUUUGAUCUUUAGAGAGUUACAAGCUAAACGUCUUUGAAGCUACACGCGAGUAGUCUUGAAGGUGUUGAAGCUGUGGUCCGUUCUAGUUGAAGCUGUGCUACGUUCUGUUGGUUUGCGUGAUUCUAGACUCAAGGUUGGUGUGUACGAAAUCCAAGAUCCAAGUUUUCAAGUCAAGCAAAGAUGGAACAUGGGAUGAACAUGAGGAUGAAGGUAGCGGUUACUUUCAAAGGUAGCAACUACCUUGUGUGGUCUCGGAUGGUGAAGACUGCUGUGGGAAGUAAGGGUUUGUGGGGGCACAUCACAACAGGGGAGGCUCCGAAACUCAUUACUCAGGGAGGAGAUCAAGAAGAGGUCUCCAAUGAAGCGGCUGUGGAGAAAUGGCAACAAGAAGACAUGCUGGUGAUGACGGUUCUACACGCAUCCUUGGACCCAGCUAUCUUGGAUGCCUACAGCUACUGUGAAUCAGCCAAGGAGCUGUGGGACACGCUGAAGAAGGUGUAUGGGAACACUUCCAACCUCAGCCGUGUGUUUGAAGUGAAGCUAGCGAUCAACCGUCUUGCACAAGAGGACAUGGAGUUCACUAAGCACUUGGGGAGGUUCAGGUCCUUAUGGUCAGAGCUGGAGAUGCUGAGGCCGAGCACAACUGAUCCAGAUCAGCUGAAUGAGAGGCGCGAGCAAGACAAGGUCUUUGGGCUGCUUCUCACACUGAACCCGGCCUACACCCAGCUCAUCCAGCACAUGUUAAGGUCAGACAAGCUUCCGGACCUUGAGGAGGUGUGUGCACAAAUCCAAAGGGAGCAGGGAUCCAUGGGUUUGUUUGGAGGAAAGGGGGAGCUCUCUCUUGCCAAUCAAGCAGCUCAUGAGGAUUCAACCGAGGCUCCACAAGCAAACAAGGCAUCUCACGGGAAGUACGAGGACAGGAAGUUCAAUGGCAACUGUGAUCAUUGCAAGAAGCAUGGUCAUAAGAAGAGCCAAUGCUGGAUACUGCACCCACACCUCAAGCCGGCCAAGUUCAUGAAGGAGCGUGAGGGAAGGGCAAAUGUGACUGAAGGUUCAAGCGGAGCUGGCACCAGCAAGAUCAGUGAAGUGGAUGGGCUUGGAGGCAAUGAUGGGAAUGGGAAGUCUCUGGUGGCUUACACAGGCGCCUCAAGCUCCCGCAGCAAUGAUGACUACAUCAAGAGAUCAGACCUUGAUGCCCUCUUCAAAAUGCUAAAGGAAAACGGUAACACUUACGGUUAUUCCUUUGGAGCUUCUAUGAUUGCAUAUAAGGAUGAUCACUUGAUUAGAAAACUAGUAGAACGGUUAGAAGCUAGGAAUGAGUAUAGGCAUGCUUACAUUGCUAGAACUGAUAAGAUGCAUUCAUCACUUAGUAAUCUAUGCCAUAAUGCUAAACGAGUAGGUAAACCAUUGAUUGUUGAUUCUGGUGCAUCACAUCAUAUGAUAAGUGAUGAAAACUUGAUUAAGGAUAUAGAACCUACACAUGGGCAUGUGAUGAUAGCAAAUGGGGAUAAGAUACCCAUUAGAGGAAUAGGAAAGCUUAAGCUGUUUAACAAAGAAUCUAGAGCUUUUUACAUGCCUGAAUUCACAUCAAACCUAUUAUCAGUGAAGAAAUGUACUAAUGAUUUACAAUGCAAUGUUAUCUUUAGUCCUAAUGAUGUGAAGUUUCAGGAUAUUGAGAGCAGCAGGUUGAUUGGGAAAGGGGUGACUAAGGGAGAUCUCUAUAUGCUUGAAGAACUCACUUCUGUUCCUGAUUAUAGUUGCUCGUUUACUUCUGCUUCUUUGUUGAAUAAAAAUGCAUUGUGGCAUGCUAGAGUAGGACACCCUCAUGUUAAAGCUUUGAACUUAAUGGUACCAGGUGUUGUGUUUGAGAAUAAGGAUUGUGAAGCUUGCAUUUUAGGCAAGCAUUGUAGAACUGUGUUUCAAAAGUCUACUACUGUUUAUGAUAAUUGCUUUGAUCUAAUUCAUUCAGAUGUAUGGACUGCCCCUUGCUUAUCUAGAGAUAGUUAUAAGUAUUUUGUCACAUUCAUUGAUGAAAAAUCCAAAUACACCUGGUUAACCUUAAUUCAGACCAAAGAUAGGGUACUUGAUGCAUUUAGGAAUUUUCAAACUUAUGUAACUAACCAUUAUCAUGCUAAGAUUAAAAUUUUGAGAUCAGAUAAUGGAGGAGAGUACACGAGUCAUGCAUUCAAGCAACACCUAUCACAACAUGGGAUUCUACAUCAAACAAGCUGUCCUUAUACUCCACAGCAAAAUGGAGUGGCUGAGAGGAAGAAUAGGCAUCUCAUGGAAGUGGCAAGGUCACUUAUGUUUCAGAGUAAUGUUCCAAAGAGAUUUUGGAGUGAUGCGGUUGCCACUGCUUGUUACCUGAUAAACAGAACUCCAACCAAAGUUCUGAAUGAGAAGGCUCCAUUUGAAGUUCUGAACAGGUACAAGCCAGCUCUUGAUUACUUGCGAGUCUUUGGAUGCCUAUGCUUUGUCCUCAAACCAGGAGAGAUGAUCAACAAGCUAGAAGCAAGAAGCACUAAGGCUGUGUUCAUAGGAUACUCAGCUACACAGAAAGGAUACAAAUGCUAUGAUCCUAUAGCAAGGAGAGUUCUUGUAUCUAGAGAUGUGAAGUUCUUGGAAGAUAGAGGAUACUAUGAAGAAAAGAAUCAAGAAGACCUGAAGGACUUAACAUCAGACAAGGCCACCACCUUGCGGAUCAUUCUUGAAGGUCUUGGAAUCAGUACAUCCCAGGAUCCGAGGAAUCACGCAACUACACCUCCUGAAGUUGGUUCACCAUCCCACCUUGAUCAUGAGGGAGGAGAGGAGCAUGAGGAGCCUAUGCAAGAGGCCAACCAAGAUGAAGGAGGAGUAGAGAAUGAAGGAGAAGAGAGCAUAGGCUCGGAUGGUCAUGGACAUGAUCAUGGUGUGACACAAACACCUUCUCAAGAUGAAGUGGUAGAAGAACAACAGGAAGAAGAACCAGUUGUGCAGCCACUAAGAAGGAGUACAAGGAUAAGGAAGGAUCCUUCCAGUUGGGUAAACACGAGAGUGUACUACAAUGCCCAAGCUGUGGAGCAUCCUUCUCAAGCCGUGUGCUCCUUUGCUCAAUAUCCAGAAGCACAUUGCGCGUUCAUGGUAAACUUGGAUGAGAAUCACAUCCCAAGAAGCUAUGAAGAAGCAAUGAAAGAUAAAGAAUGGAAGGAAUCAGUUGGAGAUGAGGCAGGAGCGAUGAUCAAGAAUGAUACAUGGUAUGAGAGUGAGUUACCAAAAGGGAAGAAGGCUGUGACUAGUAGAUGGAUAUUCACAAUCAAGUACAAAGCGGAUGGAAAGGUUGAGAGGAAGAAGUCAAGACUAGUUGCAAGAGGGUUCACUCAAACUUAUGGAGAAGAUUACAUAGAAACCUUUGCACCAGUAGCUAAACUCCACACAAUCCGGAUUGUACUAAGCUUGGCUGUGAAUCUUGGAUGGGGGUUAUGGCAAAUGGAUGUGAAGAAUGCGUUUCUACAAGGUGAACUUGAGGAUGAAGUGUAUAUGCAUCCACCUCCAGGCCUUGAACACUUAGUAAAGAGUGGGAAUGUACUGAGAUUGAAGAAAGCCAUCUAUGGACUGAAGCAAUCACCAAGGGCUUGGUACAACAAGUUGAGCACUACUCUGAAUGGCCGAGGCUUCAAGAAGUCUGAACUAGAUCACACUCUCUUCACUCUCACGACUCCCUCAGGUAUGAUUGCUCUCCUUGUGUAUGUUGAUGAUAUCAUUAUCACAGGGAGUGAUAAGGAAGGUAUCAUAGCAACCAAGGAGUUUCUUAAAUCCAUGUUUGAGAUUAAAGACUUGGGAGAAAUGAAAUACUUCCUUGGAAUUGAGAUAUGUAGAUCCAAGGAAGGUUUGUUCAUGUCCCAAAGGAAAUAUACACUUGAUCUUUUGAAAGGUGCAGGUGCUUAUGGAGGCAAGACAGCAAGGAUGCCUAUGGAGGAUGGCUACAAAGUCCCACGAGAGGGGGAGAUUGAAGACAGCAAACCUUAUCAGGAUCCUAAACUCUAUAGAAAACUAGUUGGCAAAUUGAUUUAUCUUACUAUAACUAGACCUGACAUUUGCUUUGCUGUGAAUCAGGUGAGUCAACACAUGCAAGUGCCUAAGGAACAUCACUGGCACAUGGUGGAGAGGAUCUUGAUGUAUCUCAACGGCUCACCUGAUCAAGGAGUAUGGAUGGGCUGCAAUGGAAGCACUGAAGUGGUGGGAUAUUGUGAUGCGGAUUGGGCUGGUGAUAGAGCAGACAGGAGAUCAACCACAGGCUAUUGCACAUUCAUUGGAGGCAACUUGGUGACUUGGAAGAGCAAGAAGCAGAAGGUAGUGUCAUGUUCAAGUGCAGAAGCCGAGUAUAGAGCCAUGCUGAAGCUCACCAACGAGUUGGUAUGGAUCAAAGGCAUCUUGAAGCACUUGGAGAUCGAUCAAGCAACUCCAAUGACAAUGCAUUGUGACAAUCAAGCUGCCAUCCACAUUGCAUCCAACUCGGUGUUUCAUGAGAGGACCAAGCACAUUGAAGUUGAUUGUCACAAGGUGAGGCAGAUGAUUGUGCUAGGGGUGAUCUUGCCAUGUUACACAAGGAGUGAAGAUCAGCUAGCGGAUGUGUUCACCAAGGCUGCAAGACAGAAGACAAUGGAGUCCAUUCACAUCAGGUUGGGCCUCAUUGAUCUUGGGAAGAGAAGAAGCUAAUCCCCUUAGCUGCAAGGUCUUUACUCUUUUUCCCUCAUCAAAGUUUUAUCCCAUUGGGUUUUCUUUGGUGAGGUUUUUAAUGAGGAAGAUCUUGUGGCUGUCCAAGCUUAGACUUAUACAAAGCUAAGCUUGAGGGGGAGUGUUGAGUUGAGCUGAAUAUAUAUGUAUGAAGAGCUAAGGAGUUGAAGAGGAAAGGAGAUGAGGAAGCUUGAGAGAGUUUAGGGAGAGCAUGGUACGGACGUCCGUACAAGGCCGUACAAGCCGUACAGUCCGUACCAUCCAGCAUCGACCAAGACUUACCUUGCAUCAGCCAAGUAACACGGUAACUAAGGUAAAGGGAAGGAACUUACCUUGAGGCAUCAGACCGUUUAGGGAUAAGGUAGAGCGCGCCUUGACAGGCUGGAACAGCUGGAAAGGCAAGAGCAUCUCGGUCCAAGAUGCCAGAUACUCCGCGCAUGUGGAGAAGCUAAUUGGCUAGUCCAAAUGAGCUUAUCCUCUCCUGAUUGACCUCACAUGCUUUAGUCUUCUCUUGAUUUCGAAAACCCUUGUAUGCUCUCUCUAUAUAUUGUAACUCAUCAACCCUAAUGAAGAUUAUGCAGUUUGAGUCUCUCUAAUCUCUUAGACACUAUGCUUUUCUCUUAGACACUAAACGGCUCUAUCUAGUCUCCUAAUCUUUCACAAACUUCUCUUAAUCACUUCCUAAACACUCUCUUUAUUUUGUUUACUCUAAGGAUCUCUUAAUCUCAUAUUCAACAGAUCCUGAGUGUACUUCCUUUGAGACAUGAACAAGCCCUCCUUUGAUCUGCAUAUCUCAAUACCCAGAAAAUACUUCAUCUCUCCCAAAUCCUUGAUGUCAAACACUGAUUUGAGAAACUCCUUAGUAGCCUGAAUCCCUGCCUUAUCACUUCCUGUGAUAAUCAAAUCAUCCACAUACACUAGAAUCACAAUGAUCCCUGAAGGUCCUGUCAAGGUGAAGAGAGUGUGAUCCAGUUCAGACUUCCUAAAGCCUCUCCCAUUGAGUGUGGUACUCAACUUCCUGUACCAAGCUCUAGGUGACUGUUUUAGCCCAUAUAUUGCCUUCUUCAAUCUUAAAACAUUCCCUGGCUUUACUAGAUGCUCAAGACCAGGAGGUGGAUGCAUGUACACUUCAUCUUCUAGUUCACCUUGCAGGAAAGCAUUCUUCACAUCCAUUUGCCACAGAUCCCACUUCAAGUUUGUUGCAAUGGAUAACACAAUUCGAAUUGUGUGAAGCUUAGCCACUGGUGCAAAAGUAUCAAUGUAGUCUUCCCCAUAAGUCUGUGUAAACCCUCUUGCUACCAGCCUGGUUUUGCGUCUCUCAAUAGUUCCAUCUGCCCGGUACUUGAUUGUGAAGAUCCAUCUGCUAGACACAGCCUUCUUCCCUCUUGGUAAUUCACUCUCAUACCAAGUGUCAUUCCUGAUCAUUGCAUCCCUUUCAUCACCCACUGAAUUUCUCCAGACCUUAUGCUUCAUGGCUUCCUCAUAAGACCUUGGGAUCUCAUUCUCAUCCAGAUUACCCAUGAAGACCACAUGCUCCUCUGGAUAUGUUGCAAACGAACAUACUGCUUGAGUCGGAUGUGCUACGGCCUCCGCAUUGUAGUAUAUCCUUGUGUUCACCCAAUUUGAUGGAUCUUUCUUUACCCUGGUACUUCUCCUCAGUGGUUGAACCUCUGUUUCUGGUUCCUGAAUCCCAACUGACUCGACUGGAUUUUGCAUAGCUGCCUGCUCAUCUCUAUCAGUCUGCGCAUCUCCAUCUGAUCUUGGACUCUCUCUAUCAGCCUGCGCAUCUCCAUCUGAUCUUGGAUUCUCUUCUCCUUGUGUCUCUCCUUGAUCAUGACUUCCUGAAUCACUUUUCUGUUGUUGUUGCACUCCUGAUUCAGCUUCACUUCCCCCCUCAUGAUCAAGAGGGGACCUCCUUUCACUUUCCUCCUCAUGAGUACUUGUGCUUCUUGGUGGUUCUCUUCUUGUUCCUUGAUCCUGGGUCAUGCUAAUCCCAAGAUUCUCCAAUAUUUUCCUCAGAUUUGUUGCCUUAUCUGAUGGCGUUUGUGGAAGAUCCUUCAAAUCUUCCCAUAUCUUUUCUUCAUAAUACCCUUUUCCUUCAAUGAAUUUGACAUCUCUAGACACCAACACCCUCCCUGUUACUGGAUCAUAGCACUUAUACCCUUUCUGAGUAAUGGAGUAUCCAAUAAACAUAGCCUUAGUGCUCUUUGCAUCAAGCUUCUUCCUCAGUUCUCCUGGAACCAAUACAUAGCAGGUACACCCAAACACUCUCAGAUGUUGAAUCUGCGGCCUAGCCUUGUUCAGUACCUCAAAUGGAGAUAGAUCCCUCAGAACUUUCGUCGGUGUCCUGUUGAUGAGAUAACAUGCUGAGACAACUGCAUCACUCCAAAAUCUCUUGGGAACAUUAGAAUGAAACAUCAUUGAUCUUGCUACUUCCAUCAGGUGUCUGUUCUUCCUCUCAGCCACACCAUUCUGUUGUGGAGUGUAGGGACAGCUGGUUUGAUGAACUAUCCCAUGCUUCAUCAGAUGAUUCUUGAAUGCAUGGCUAGUGUAUUCACCUCCAUUGUCUGACCUUAGUACCUUCACAGUAGCAUUAUAGUGAUUAGUGACAUAGGCUUGGAAGUUUAUAAAUGCCUCUAACACUCUAUCCUUGGAGGGAAGCAAUGUGACCCAUGUGUACUUAGAUUUUUCAUCUAUGAAAGUCACAAAAUACUUAUGCUUAUCCCUAGAUAUACAUGGAGAUGUCCACACAUCAGAGUGUAUUAAGUCAAAGCAUUUCUCAUAGACAGUUUCAGAUGUGGGAAAGACAGUUUUGCAAUGCUUCCCUAGUAUGCAUGCUUCACAUUCAAGGUGAUUAACUGAUAGAUUAGGUAUCAUUAGCUCAAGGGCGCGAGUAUGAGGAUGUCCUAAUCUAGCAUGCCAAGUAAUACUAUCACAGCCAUCAGCAGUACUACUCAUGCAUAUUGAGAUAGAGGGUUUAGAGAGCUUAGUUGAUUGUAGCUGGUAUAGAUUGUUGGUACUGCUCCCCUUUCCAAUCACUUGACCCGUAACAAGAUCUUGAAACUCAACCUCCUGUGGCCUGAAUACUACUUGACAUUGCAAGUCAAUAGUAGCUCUCUUUACAGAUAUCAAAUUGGAGGUAAACUGAGGCAGGUACAAGGCUGUUGACUCCCUGUCAAAUAGCUUCAAGCUUCCUAUCCCUUCUAUAGGAAUUUUAUCUCCAUUUGCUAUCUGAACAUUUCCAGUAGCUGCUCUCACUUCAUCCAUCAGACUCCUAUCACUGAUCAUGUGAUGACUGGCUCCAGAAUCCACAAUAAUAGGUUUAGACCUUACUGAAUGACUUCCUUGCUUCUUUGAUGCAGUGAGUGCUUUCGCUUUGGCUACAAAUGCAUCCCAUUCUCUUCUGGUAAUCACCUCAUCAGCUCCACCCUUCUCGUGUCUGUUUGUUAAGCUAUCCCCAUCUUUUAUGUCUCCUAUGUAUGCUGAAUACAAGCUCUUGCCGGUGAUUACUUGUUCUAGCUCAGUAAUCUUUCUCCUCUUAUCCGGCUGCAUCUUUGCUUGCUCAUGCUUCACCAAACCACACACACUCUCCACAUCAGGUAGGACUUCUUCCGUGAGGAUCUUCCUGACCAGUUUAUCAUAAGACUUAUCUAAACUCAGCAGAAGACUAAACACUUCAUCUUGCUCUAGUCUUCUCUUCAGUAUGUCUUUAUCUGAGGUACUCGGUCUGAGUGCCUUCAACUCUGCCCAUAAGCUCUUAAAGCGUUCAAGAUGCUUACUGAGCUCUUCUCCAUCUUGCCUCAGAUUCUCAAUGGCCCGCUUAACCACAAAAACCUUGCAUAGAUGCGAUCUGUCCUCAUACACAGCUUCCAUACUCUCCCACAACUCCUUAGCUGUCCCUUCAUGACCAUCAGCUUCCAGGGUUGAACUUGAGAGCGACCUCUGGAUGAUCCCAAGUGUUCCAUGAUUCUCUUGAAUCCACUUGCCUUCACCCAUCUGCUUUGUAAUCACUUCACCCCCACGAUUCCACUCAUCAGGAGUAACUGUUGUACAUAGCUCCACCAUGGUGUCGUCUGUUUCCAUCUACAAGAAGAGAACCUCAACACACCAAUAACCCAGAAUACCAAAUCUUCAAGCACACUCACAAACCCAGAAUCUCCAAGAACACAAAUUUGCGGAAUGAACUCAGGUUUUAGAGCAACCUGGCUCUGAUACCAUAUUAGAUUUUGAUUUAGUGAGUGUAGAACGUGGAUUAAGAGAGAAUAAGAUUGAUUUGAGUAAGUAGAUUAAGAGAAUUAAGAGAUUAGAGUAAUGAGAGAGAGUAGAAAGAUUAGAGAGAGAUAGACUCAAAACUCAGAUUAGUCUUUAUUAAUCAGAGAGGUUACAAUUUAUAGUUCAGGAUACAAGGGUUUCCAAGACUCUAAGGAUAAGGUAAAGCAUGUGAAGUCAAUACAGAAGCUAGACUCGAUUUUGAAUUGAUCCAAUGGCUGUUCUCACAUGUGUAAGGUAUCUUUGCUUUUGCUUUACCUUUCCAGCAUGAGACAGGCUGUCACCGCGAGCCUUAUCCUUCUCCAACGGGCUGAUUCUUCUCCAAGACUAAAGGCAUUCACCUUUUACCACUCUAACUCCUCAUUCUAACUUUCACCUUUGGUUAAUGUUUGUGAUCAUCCUUGAUGUGUACGGCCAGUUCCUUCUGUACGGAUUGUACGGCUAUGGCUGAUCACAAACUCUCCCAAAGUCUCAUCCCUUUCAGUCUCUUAACUCCUUGUGCCUUCUCCUACAUUGUACUCAACUCAUUUCAACAUCCACUUCUUGAUCUUCAUCUCAACAGAGCAUAUCAGCCAUAGUAGAGAUCAUGGUCUGAUUCAUUUGCUCGGUCAUUUGAUCUCUCAGCAUCUUGUUCUUCCUUACUAGCUCGGCUUCUUCUUCUGAUUCUUUCCCCAUUGGUACCUAGAAUCAAUAACAACACUCAACCAGUAAAUAAUUCCAAUAAACUGAUCGUAAUCAGUAGAUGAUCAAGAGAUUUUAAACUGAAAUAAACUGGCGGUAAAAGAAAACUUGAUUAUCAAGUAACGAGAAUUCAAAUCGACAACAAGUAAAUCACAAUAGAAACGUGAUCAGGGUAGGUUUGUUAAUCAGAUUUCGACGACACACAAGUAGAUCUAGUUGUUAUAGGUGAUUUAUAACAGAUCACACGAUCAAUUAGAUUCAAACAAAAGAUCAAAUCUAGAAUAUGAAUCGAUAACAAUCGGAUCUAAAAGAGCGAAACCUAGAUCUAUCAAUUUCAAACUCUUAACAAUUAGAUCGACACAAAAUGAUUAGAUCACACACUCAAACGACCACGGAUCACAGAUCAAUCAAUGGAUAUUGCGAAACAAAGAACAGAUCAGUUGAAACAAAACGGAUCGAUCUAAAAACUGAUCAAGAAGAUGAACAGGUUAAAUCGAAACAAAAGAGAAACGAGUACUUCCCUAACCAGAGAUGCUCUGAUACCACAUAAUACGUCCCUAGAUUGCUUCUCUGGAUAGUAUGGGAUAGAUCCUUGCUAGAACGAAUCAAAGACUCAAGCUCUACAAGGUUGUGGAUCGAUUGGUGACACAAGAGGCUGCGGAAAGGCUCCUUGAUACUCCUAAGUGACUAGAUCGGAUAUGACACACCGAGAUAGACACUCUUGGGUUGUUGGAUACUACACACCAACAAGAACACUCAACAACUCGCGAACAAGCAGUAGAGAGAACAAAGAAAAGGUUUAUGAUAAAAGAUAAUUGAUUAUUGAUAAGGGAUUCAAAGUACACUUAUAUAAGAGAAGUUGGAACAGACUCCAAGCUUCUCGAAAACUAUCAAGAGAGCAAAGGAACACGCACUCUUGAAAAUAGAAACAAAUGACAAGUUUGAAAAUAAAACAUGAAAUGAAAGACUUAUUAUAACAUAAGGUUGAUCCGGGAUAAGGUUGGAUCGAGAUCAUCAACUAAGGGUUUUGAGAAGCAAAUCUAUGGCCUCGUUAAAAACCUAUCUUUGGAAAACCCAUUGGGACAAAACCAAAGAUAGGGAAAAAGAGCACACAUAGAUUGCUUGCUUAGUUGAUGAUCAGCUUGAUGGUGAAGUAGCCUGAAUGGUGAUAAGUGUGUCUUGGUUGAUCAAGCUUCUACCAAGACAUUCCUCUUGCUUCCAUGACCUCUUAACCAAUCCUCCAAUAACUUGCGUGAGCUUCCUUGAUCUUGAUCGAGUCAUAGGUCCUUUAGGCAAGGCUAGAACAUCUCCAUCAGUUGGCUUAUCCAGAUCCUUAUUAUCUCCAUUAGCUAGUUGGUCCAUGAUCACAUCAUCCCCUCCCUCUUGAAAAGGAUUUGUCCUCAAAUCUGGCUCAUCUGCAACAAAAGGGAUCAAGUCAGUAACAUUGAAGCUAUCACUUAUAUCUCAAUUCCAAGAAAGUAUUUCAUUUCUCCCAAGUCUUUAAUCUCAAACAUGGAUUUAAGAAACUCCUUGGUUGCUAUGAUACCUUCCUUAUCACUCCCUGUGAUAAUGAUAUCAUCAACAUACACAAGGAGUGCAAUCAUACCUGAGGGAGUCGUGAGUGUGAAGAGGGUGUGAUCUAGUUCAGACUUCUUGAAGCCUCGGCCAUUAAGAGUAGUGCUCAACUUGUUGUACCACACUCUUGGUGAUUGCUUCAGCCCAUAGAUGGCUUUCUUCAGUCUCAACACAUUUCCACUCUUCACUAAGUGUUCAAGGCCUGGAGGUGGAUGCAUAUACACUUCAUCCUCAAGUUCACCUUGUAGAAACGCAUUCUUCACAUCCAUUUGCCAUAACCCCCAUCCAAGAUUCACAGCCAAGCUUAGUACAAUCCGGAUUGUGUGGAGUUUAGCUACUGGUGCAAAGGUUUCUAUGUAAUCUUCUCCAUAAGUUUGAGUGAAACCUCUUGCAACUAGCCUUGACUUCUUCCUCUCAACCUUUCCAUCCGCUUUGUACUUGAUUGUGAAUAUCCAUCUACUAGUCACAGCCUUCUUCCCUUUUGGUAACUCACUCUCAUACCAUGUAUCAUUCUUGAUCAUCGCUCCUGCCUCAUCUCCAACUGAUUCCUUCCAUUCUUUAUCUUUCAUUGCUUCUUCAUAGCUUCUUGGGAUGUGAUUCUCAUCCAAGUUUACCAUGAAAGCGCAAUGUGCUUCUGGAUAUUGAGCAAAGGAGCACACGGCUUGAGAAGGAUGCUCCACAGCUUGGGCAUUGUAGUACACUCUCGUGUUUACCCAACUGGAAGGAUCCUUCCUUAUCCUUGUACUCCUUCUUAGUGGCUGCACAACCGGUUCUUCUUCCUGUUGUUCUUCUACCACUUCAUCUUGAGAAGGUGUUUGUGUCACACCAUGAUCAUGUCCAUGACCAUCCGAGCCUAUGCUCUCUUCUCCUUCAUUCUCUACUCCUCCUUCAUCUUGGUUGGCCUCUUGCAUAGGCUCCUCAUGCUCCUCUCCUCCCUCAUGAUCAAGGUGGGAUGGUGAACCAACUUCAGGAGGUGUAGUUGCGUGAUUCCUCGGAUCCUGGGAUGUACUGAUUCCAAGACCUUCAAGAAUGAUCCGCAAGGUGGUGGCCUUGUCUGAUGUUAAGUCCUUCAGGUCUUCUUGAUUCUUUUCUUCAUAGUAUCCUCUAUCUUCCAAGAACUUCACAUCUCUAGAUACAAGAACUCUCCUUGCUAUAGGAUCAUAGCAUUUGUAUCCUUUCUGUGUAGCUGAGUAUCCUAUGAACACAGCCUUAGUGCUUCUUGCUUCUAGCUUGUUGAUCAUCUCUCCUGGUUUGAGGACAAAGCAUAGGCAUCCAAAGACUCGCAAGUAAUCAAGAGCUGGCUUGUACCUGUUCAGAACUUCAAAUGGAGCCUUCUCAUUCAGAACUUUGGUUGGAGUUCUGUUUAUCAGGUAACAAGCAGUGGCAACCGCAUCACUCCAAAAUCUCUUUGGAACAUUACUCUGAAACAUAAGUGACCUUGCCACUUCCAUGAGAUGCCUAUUCUUCCUCUCAGCCACUCCAUUUUGCUGUGGAGUAUAAGGACAGCUUGUUUGAUGUAGGAUCCCAUGUUGUGAUAGGUGUUGCUUGAAUGCAUGACUCGUGUACUCUCCUCCAUUAUCUGAUCUCAAAAUUUUAAUCUUAGCAUGAUAAUGGUUAGUUACAUACGUUUGAAAGUUCCUAAAUGCAUCAAGUACCCUAUCUUUGGUCUGAAUUAAGGUUAACCAGGUGUAUUUGGAUUUUUCAUCAAUGAAUGUGACAAAAUACUUAUAAGUAUCUCUAGAUAAGCAAGGGGCAGUCCAUACAUCUGAAUGAAUUAGAUCAAAGCAAUUAUCAUAAACGGUAGUAGACUUUUGAAACACAGUUCUACAAUGCUUGCCUAAAAUGCAAGCUUCACAAUCUUUAUUCUCAAACACAACACCUGGUACCAUUAAGUUCAAAGCUUUAACAUGAGGGUGUCCUACUCUAGCAUGCCACAAUGCAUUUUUAUUCAACAAAGAAGCAGAAGUAAACGAGCAAAUAUAAUCAGGAACAGAAGUGAGUUCUUCAAGCAUAUAGAGAUCUCCCUUAGUCACCCCUUUCCCAAUCAAUCUGCUGCUCUCAAUAUCCUGAAACUUCACAUCAUUAGGACUAAAGAUAACAUUGCAUUGUAAAUCAUUAGUACAUUUCUUCACUGAUAAUAGGUUUGAUGUGAAUUCAGGCAUGUAAAAAGCUCUAGAUUCUUUGUUAAACAGCUUAAGCUUUCCUAUUCCUCUAAUGGGUAUCUUAUCCCCAUUUGCUAUCAUCACAUGCCCAUGUGUAGGUUCUAUAUCCUUAAUCAAGUUUUCAUCACUUAUCAUAUGAUGUGAUGCACCAGAAUCAACAAUCAAUGGUUUACCUACUCGUUUAGCAUUAUGGCAUAGAUUACUAAGUGAUGGAUGCAUCUUAUCAGUUCUAGCAAUGUGAGCAUGUCUAUACUCAUUCCUAGCUUCUAACCGUUCUACUAGUUCUCUAAUCAAGUGAUCAUCCUUAUAUGCAAUCAUAGAAGCUCCAAAGGAAUAACCGUAAGUGUUACCGUUUUCCUUUAGCAUUUUGAAGAGGGCAUCAAGGUCUGAUCUCUUGAUGUAGUCAUCAUUGCUGCGGGAGCUUGAGGCGCCUGUGUAAGCCACCAGAGACUUCCCAUUCCCAUCAUUGCCUCCAAGCCCAUCCACUUCACUGAUCUUGCUUGUGCCAGCUCCGCUUGAACCUUCAGUCACAUUUGCCCUUCCCUCACGCUCCUUCAUGAACUUGGCCGGCUUGAGGUGUGGGUGCAGUAUCCAGCAUUGGCUCUUCUUAUGACCAUGCUUCUUGCAAUGAUCACAGUUGCCAUUGAACUUCCUGUCCUCGUACUUCCCGUGAGAUGCCUUGUUUGCUUGUGGAGCCUCGGUUGAAUCCUCAUGAGCUGCUUGAUUGGCAAGAGAGAGCUCCCCCUUUCCUCCAAACAAACCCAUGGAUCCCUGCUCCCUUUGGAUUUGUGCACACACCUCCUCAAGGUCCGGAAGCUUGUCUGACCUUAACAUGUGCUGGAUGAGCUGGGUGUAGGCCGGGUUCAGUGUGAGAAGCAGCCCAAAGACCUUGUCUUGCUCGCGCCUCUCAUUCAGCUGAUCUGGAUCAGUUGUGCUCGGCCUCAGCAUCUCCAGCUCUGACCAUAAGGACCUGAACCUCCCCAAGUGCUUAGUGAACUCCAUGUCCUCUUGUGCAAGACGGUUGAUCGCUAGCUUCACUUCAAACACACGGCUGAGGUUGGAAGUGUUCCCAUACACCUUCUUCAGCGUGUCCCACAGCUCCUUGGCUGAUUCACAGUAGCUGUAGGCAUCCAAGAUAGCUGGGUCCAAGGAUGCGUGUAGAACCGUCAUCACCAGCAUGUCUUCUUGUUGCCAUUUCUCCACAGCCGCUUCAUUAGAGACCUCUUCUUGAUCUCCUCCCUGAGUAAUGAGUUUCGGAGCCUCCCCUGUUGUGAUGUGCCCCCACAAACCCUUACUUCCCACCGCGGUCUUCACCAUCCGAGACCACACAAGGUAGUUGCUACCUUUGAAAGUAACCGCUACCUUCAUCCUCAUGUUCAUCCCAUGUUCCAUCUUUGCUUGACUUGAAAACUUGAAUCUUGGAUCUCGUACACACCAACCUUGAGUCUAGAAUCACGCAAACCAACAGAACGUAGCACAGCUUCAACUAGAACGGAACACAGCUUCAACACCUUCAAGACUACUCGCGUGUAGCUUCAAAGACGUUUAGCUUGUAACUCUCUAAAGAUCAAACCCCAGAUUCAAAUGAACCUGGCUCUGAUACCAUAUGAGAUUAAGAGAUCCUUAGAGUAAUCAGAAUAAAGAGAGUGUUUAGGAAGUGAUUAAGAGAAGUUUGUGAAAGAUUAGGAGACUAGAUAGAGCCGUUUAGUGUCUAAGAGUAAACCAUAGUGUCUAAGAGAUUAGAGAGACUCAAACUGCUUAAUCUUCAUUAGGGUUGAUGAGUUACAAUAUAUAGAGUGAGCAUACAAGGGUUUUCGAAAUCAAGAGAAGACUAAAGCAUGUGAGGUCAAUCAGGAGAGGAUAAGCUCAUUUGGACUAGCCAAUUAGCUUCUCCACAUGCGCGGAGUAUCUGGCAUCUUGGACCGAGAUGCUCUUGCCUUUCCAGCUGUUCCAGCCUGUCAAGGCGCGCUCUACCUUAUCCCUAAACGGUCUGAUGCCUCAAGGUAAGUUCCUUCCCUUUACCUUAGUUACCGUGUUACUUGGCUGAUGCAAGGUAAGUCUUGGUCGAUGCUGGAUGGUACGGACUGUACGGCUUGUACGGCCUUGUACGGACGUCCGUACCAUGCUCUCCCUAAACUCCCUUAAGCUUCCUCAUCUCCUUUCCUCUUCAACUCCUUAGCUCUUCAUACAUAUAUUCAGCUCAACUCAACACUUAUGUCGUACUUACCUUGCAGAUCAAGUUUGUAGGCAUUGUCAUUGAUCCUCUUGGUGACUUCAAAAGGGCCAUCAAUCCUCGGCAUUAGCUUAGACUUCCUCUCUUUUGGAAACCUUUCUUUCCUCAAGUGAACCCAUACUUGAUCUCCAACUUCAAAGAUCAUCUCACGCCUUCCCUUGUUGGCUUGUUUGGCGUAUUGCUUAGUUUUCUCUUCUAGAUUGCGCUUAGCUUGCUCAUGAAUCCGCUGAACCAUCUCAGCUUUCUUUUUCCCAUCCAUACUAACCCUUUCACACUCAGGUAAAGGUAUUAGAUCCAAAGGUGAGAUGGGAUUGAACCCAUAAACAAUUUCAAAAGGAGAAAACUUAGAAGCAUAAUGCAUAGCAUGAUUGUAUGCAAAUUCACAAUGAGGCAAGUAAUCUUCCCAUGAUUUCAAGUUCUUUUUGAUGAAUGCACGCAGGAGAGUACCUAAGGUUCUAUUAACUACUUCAGUCUGCCCAUCAGUUUGUGGAUGACAAGUAGUAGAAAACAAUAGCUUAGUUCCUAGUUUAGACCACAAUGUUUUCCAAAAGUAGCUAAGGAAUUUAGUGUCUCUAUCUGAAACUAUAGUCCUAGGCAUUCCAUGCAAACGUACAACUUCUUUAAAGAACAAAUUUGCUACAUGUAAUGCAUCAUCAGUCUUAUUGCAAGCUAUGAAAUGUGCCAUUUUAGAGAAUCUAUCAACAACCACAAAGAUAGAAUCCUUUCCAGUCCUAGUUCUAGGCAAACCCAUAACAAAAUCCAUAGAUAUAUCAUUCCAAGGAUGAGUAGGAAUAGGCAAAGGAGUAUACAAACCGUGAGGUUGAACUUUAGAUUUUGCAAGCUUGCAAGUUGUGCACCUUCCACAGAUUCUCUCCACAUCUCUUUUCAUAUGCGGCCAAUAGAAGUGAUCCUGCAAAACUUUAAGGGUUUUUGAUAUACCAAAAUGACCCAUCAGGCUUCCUCCAUGGGAUUCCCUGACAAAUAGAUCUCUCAAAGAGCAAUUAGGCACACAUAAACGAUUGUCAUAGAAUAAGAAUCCAUCAUGCCUAAAAUAAUGUCCAGAAGCAUACUUAGCACAUGAUUUAUAAGCUUCUUGAAAGUCAGGAUCAGAUUCAUACAUUUCUUUAAUCUGCUCAAAGCCUAGCAACUUAGCAUCAAGAGUAGUUAAAAGGACAUACCUUCGGGAUAGUGCAUCAGCAACUAUAUUCUCCUUACCUUGUUUGUAUUUGAUCACAUACGGGAAGGUUUCAAUGAAUUCUACCCAUCUAGCAUGUCUCUUGCUGAGCUUACUUUGUCCUUUGAGAUACUUGAGAGAUUCAUGGUCGGUGUGAAUUACAAACUCCUUUGGCCAGAGAUAAUGCUGCCAAGUCUGUAGAGCUCUCACCAAGGCGUAGAGUUCUUUGUCAUAAGUGGCAUAGUUGAGAGUAGCUCCACUGAGUUUCUCACUGAAGUAAGCAAUAGGUCUUUUAUCCUGCAUCAACACAGCACCAAUUCCAAUUCCUGAGGCAUCACAUUCUAUUUCAAAUGUUUUAGAAAAAUCAGGAAGUAUGAGAAGAGGAGAUUGAGUAAGCUUCUCUUUAAGGAGUUGGAAUGCGGCUUCUUGAGCUUCUCCCCACUUAAAUCCUACAUCCUUCUUGAUUAUCUCAGUUAGGGGAGCUGCUAGAGUGCUGAAAUCCUUCACAAAGCGCCUAUAGAAACCUGCCAGUCCAUGAAAACUCCUUACUUCUCCCACUGUAGUUGGACUCGGCCACUCUUGUAUUGCUUUGAUCUUUUCCUGAUCCACCUUUACACCAUCUGUACUUACAACAAAACCUAGAAAGAUCAAGUUAUCUGUGCAAAAAGUGCACUUCUUCAGAUUGGCAUAUAGUUUUUCCUUUCUCAAAACAUCCAAAACAGCCCUAAGAUGUUCUAUAUGAUCUUCUAAGCAUUUGCUGUAAACUAAGAUAUCAUCAAAGUACACAACAACAAAGAUGCCUAUGAAAGACCUAAGAAUAUGAUUCAUCAAUCUCAUGAAUGUACUAGGCGCAUUGGUUAAUCCAAAUGGCAUAACUAACCAUUCAUACAAGCCAUGUUUAGUUUUAAAAGCAGUUUUCCACUCAUCUCCUUCUUUCAUCCUAAUCUGAUGAUAUCCACUUUUCAAGUCUAUCUUAGAAAAGAUGCAAGAACCAUGCAAUUCAUCAAGCAUAUCAUCUAAUCUAGGAAUAGGGUGGCGAUACUUCACUGUUAUGUUGUUGAUUGCUCUACAAUCAACACACAUGCGCCAGCUCCCAUCUUUCUUUGGCACAAGGAGCACUGGAACUGCACAAGGACUCAAACUCUCUCGGAUAUGACCCUUCUCCAUCAGCUCCUCUAUUUGUUUUUGCAGUUCUUUAGUUUCAACUGGAUUGGUCCUGUAUGCUGGACGGUUGGGCAGUGUAGAACCAGGUACAAAGUCUAUUUGGUGCUCAAUCCCACGCACUGGAGGCAAUCCAAUGGGGCUAUCUUCUGGAAACACAUCUGCAUACUCCUGUAAAAGAGAAACUAGUUCACUCGGAUGAUCCGGUGUGUGAUCAGUAACUGUUAGAAGAGUCCCUUUAAACCUAAGCAAGAUAAUAGAAUUUUGAGAGUAGAGAAUUCUUUUGAUAUCUCCCUGUUUGGCAUAGAGGCUGUGAUGCUUGUCAUGAUCAGGUUUGAGAUCAAUCUCUUUCGCUUUCUUUUUCUGAAGCUGGAUUUGAUCUUCAUGAACCUCUUUAGGAGACAAAGGCACCAGCACAGUCUUCUUUCCGUUGAAUUCAAAAGAAUGUUUGUUGGUGAAGCCAUCAUGAUUCACACGUCUAUCAUACUGCCAGGGUCUUCCAAGGAGUAUAUGACUGGCUUCCAUUGGCAACACAUCACACAAGACUUCAUCUUCAUAUCUACCAAUGGCUAUAGGAACCAGUACUUGAGUAGAAACUUUCAUCUCGCCUUCUUCAUUGAGCCACUGCAAUCUGUAGGGUCUUGGGUGUUUCUGAAUUUUCAAACCCAAUUUCUUCACCAUAGCCUCACUAGCUACAUUGACACAACUUCCUCCAUCAAUAAUGAGACUGCACACCUUUCCCUGCACCAUACACCUUGUGUAGAAUAGAUUCUCUCGCUGCUCAAGCUCUCCAUUCUUGGCUUGCAAGUUCAAGAGCCUUCUUGUCACCAACAAUCUUCCUUUUCACGGGUUCUACUUCACUUUCUUCUUCAGACUUCUCAUGAUCAGAACCAAACUUCUCUUCUUCUGAUUCAUACUCUCCAUUCUCAAGAAGAAUCAUAACCUUUUUGUUGGUGCACUCAUUAGCAUAAUGCCCACGCCCUUGACAUUUGAAGCACUUAACAUCUCUAGUUCUUGAACUAGUAAUUUCAGCUUUGCCUUUGUCUUUGCUGUAUAUGCUGCUCGGCUUAGUCUCUUCUUUCGGCUGAGGCUUGCUAUCCUUCAGAUAGGAUGUUUUCUCCUCUUUAGAGUGGUGGAACUUAGACGAUCCAUAGCUGCGUGAGUUACCCUUCCUCUUGAGCUGCUGCUCCACUAGAAUAGCUUUGUGCAACAUCUCUUCUAUUUCCACAUAGUGUUGCAUCUCCACAUUGUCUUGUAUCUCGCGGUUAAGUCCUCCAAGAAACCUUGCCAUAGUAGCUUCUCUAUCCUCCAAGAUACUAGCUCUCAACAUCAGCAACUCCAUGUCUUGAUAGUAUUCUUCAACAGUUCGUGUUCCUUGGGUAAGUCUUCGCAGCUUUUGAUGUAGGUCGCGGUGAUAAUGGCUUGGAACAAACCGUUUGCGCAUGAGUGACUUCAUCUCGUGCCAUGAAUCAACCGGAUUCUCUUGGUUAAGCCGUCUAGUACUUACAAGUUGAUCCCACCAACUCAACGCAUAAUCAUAGAAUUCAGUUGCUGCAAUCUUGAUCCUUUGGGCAUUGGAGUAGUGUUGGCAAUUGAAGACAAGCUCGAUCUUCUUUUCCCAUUCCAAGUAGGCAUCUGGAUCCACCUUGCCAUGGAAGGGAGGAAUUUUAAGCUUAAGUCCUGAAAGCUUGUCUUUGCGUGACCCCCUUCCAUCAUGUUCACGCCUUGAUCUUCCUCUGCUCAGUUCAGAAGAAGAACUACUGCGCUCAGUUGGGUUGCGCUCAGUUCUAUUGCGCGAGUAGUAGUUGUCGGUCUCUUGUGAACCCGCAUGCUCUUGCCGUACUGGAGUAGGCCGGUUUCUUCUAGACUCAUUGCUAUGUCCCUGGCCAGUAGCUUGCCUCAACUCUUGUCUCAUCUCCUCACGUAAUUCCUUCAUGCUAGCCUUGAGCAUAUCAGCCAUAGUAGAGAUCAUGGUCUGAUUCAUUUGCUCGGUCAUUUGAUCUCUCAGCAUCUUGUUCUUCCUUACUAGCUCGGCUUCUUCUUCUGAUUCUUUCCCCAUUGGUACCUGGAAUCAAUAACAACACUCAACCAGUAAAUAAUUCCAAUAAACUGAUCGUAAUCAAUAGAUGAUCAAGAGAUUUUAAACUGAAAUAAACUGGCGGUAAAAGAAAACUUGAUUAUCAAGUAACGAGAAUUCAAAUCGACAACAAAUAAAUCACAAUAGAAACGCGAUCAGGGUAGGUUUGUUAAUCAGAUUUCGACGACACACAAGUAGAUCUAGUUGUUAUAGGUGAUGAUUUAUAACAGAUCACACGAUCAAUUAGAUUCAAACAAAAGAUCAAAUCUAGAAUAUGAAUCGAUAACAAUCGGAUCUAAAAGAGCGAAACCUAGAUCUAUCAAUUUCAAACUCUUAACAAUUAGAUCGACACAAAAUGAUUAGAUCACACACUCAAACGACCACGGAUCACAGAUCAAUCAAUGGAUAUUGUGAAACAAAGAACAGAUCAGUUGAAACAAAACGGAUCGAUCUAAAAACUGAUCAAGAAGAUGAACAGGUUAAAUCGAAACAAAAGAGAAACGAGUACUUCCCUAACCAGAGAUGCUCUGAUACCACAUAAUACGUCCCUAGAUUGCUUCUCUGGAUAGUAUGGGAUAGAUCCUUGCCAGAACGAAUCAAAGACUCAAGUUCUACAAGGUUGUGGAUCGAUUGGUGACACAAGAGGCUGCGGAAAGGCUCCUUGAUACUCCUAAGUGACUAGAUCGGAUAUGACACACCGAGAUAGACACUCUUGGGUUGCUGGAUACUACACACCAACAAGAACACUCAACAACUCGCGAACAAGCAGUAGAGAGAACAAAGAAAAGGUUUAUGAUAAAAGAUAAUUGAUUAUUGAUAAGGGGUUCAAAGUACACUUAUAUAAGAGAAGUUGGAACAGACUCCAAGCUUCUCGAAAACUAUCAAGAGAGUAAAAGCACACGCUCUCUUGGAAAUAGAAACAAAAGACAAGUUUGAAAACUAAAAACAUGAAAAGGAAAUACAUAAUAUAACAUAAGGUUGAUCCGGGAUAAGGUUGGAUCGAGAUCAUCAACUAAGGGUUUUGAGAAGCAAAUCUAUGGCCUCGUUAAAAACCUAUCUUUGGAAAACCCAUUGGGACAAAACCAAAGAUAGGGAAAAAGAGCACACAUAGAUUGCUUGCUUAGUUGAUGAUCAGCUUGAUGGUGAAGUAGCUUGAAUGGUGAUAAGUGUGUCUUGGUUGAUCAAGCUUCUACCAAGACAUUCCUCUUGCUUCCAUGACCUCUUAACCAAUCCUCCAAUAACUUGCGUGAGCUUCCUUGAUCUUGAUCGAGUCAUAGGUCCUUUAGGCAAGGCUAGAACAUCUCCAUCAGUCGGCUUAUCCAGAUCCUCAUCAUCUCCAUUAGCUAGUUGGUCCAUGAUCACAUCAUCCCCUCCCUCUUGAAAAGGAUUUGUCCUCAAAUCUGGCUCAUCUGCAACAAAAGGGAUCAAGUCAGUAACAUUGAAGCUAUCACUUAUGUCGUACUUACCUUGCAGAUCAAGUUUGUAGGCAUUGUCAUUGAUCCUCUUGGUGACUUCAAAAGGGCCAUCAAUCCUCGGCAUUAGUUUAGACUUCCUCUCUUUUGGAAACCUCUAUUUCCUCAAGUGAACCCAUACUUGAUCUCCAACUUCAAAGAUCAUCUCACGCCUUCCCUUGUUGGCUUGUUUGGCGUAUUGCUUAGUUUUCUCUUCUAGAUUGCGCUUAGCUUGCUCAUGAAUCUGCUGAACUAUCUCAGCUUUCUUUUUCCCAUCCAUACUAACCCUUUCACACAUGCUGAACCAUCUCAGCUUUCUUUUUCCCAUCCAUACUAACCCUUUCACACUCAGGUAAAGGUAUUAAAUCCAAAGGUGAGAUGGGAUUGAACCCAUAAACAAUUUCAAACGGAGAAAACUUAGAAGCAGAAUGCAUAGCAUGAUUGUAUGCAAAUUCACAAUGAGGUAAGUAAUCUUCCCAUGAUUUCAAGUUCUUUUUGAUGAAUGCACGCAGGAGAGUACCUAAGGUUCUAUUAACUACUUCAGUCUGCCCAUCAGUUUGUGGAUGACAAGUAGUAGAAAACAAUAGCUUAGUUCCUAGUUUAGACCACAAUGUUUUUCAAAAGUAGCUAAGGAAUUUAGUAUCUCUAUCUGAAACUAUAGUCCUAGGCAUUCCAUGCAAACGUACCACUUCUUUAAAGAACAAAUUAGCUACAUGUAAUGCAUCAUCAGUCUUAUUGCAAGCUAUGAAAUGUGCCAUUUUAGAGAAUCUAUCAACAACCACAAAGAUAGAAUCCUUUCCAGUCCUAGUUCUAGGCAAUCCCAUAACAAAAUCCAUAGAUAUAUCAUUCCAAGGAUGAGUAGGAAUAGGCAAAGGAGUAUACAAACCGUGAGGUUGAACUUUAGACUUUGCAAGCUUGCAAGUUGUGCACCUUCCACAGAUUCUCUCCACAUCUCUUUUCAUAUGCGGCCAAUAGAAGUGAUCCUGCAAAACUUUAAGGGUUUUUGCUAUACCAAAAUGACCCACCAAGCUUCCUCCAUGGGAUUCCCUGACAAAUAGAUCUCUCAAAGAGCAAUUAGGCACACAUAAACGAUUGUCAUAGAAUAAGAAUCCAUCAUGCCUAAAAUAAUGUCCAGAAGCAUACUUAGCACAUGAUUUAUAAGCUUCUUGAAAGUCAGGAUCAGAUUCAUACAUUUCUUUAAUCUGCUCAAAGCCUAGCAACUUAGCAUCAAGAAUAGUUAAGAGGACAUUCCUUCGGGAUAGUGCAUCAGCAACUAUAUUCUCCUUACCUUGUUUGUAUUUGAUCACAUACGGAAACGUUUCAAUGAAUUCUACCCAUCUAGCAUGUCUCUUGCUGAGCUUACUUUGUCCUUUGAGAUACUUGAGAGAUUCAUGGUCGGUGUGAAUGACAAACUCCUUUGGCCAGAGAUAAUGCUGCCAAGUCUGUAGAGCUCUCACCAAGGCGUAGAGUUCUUUGUCAUAAGUGGCAUAGUUGAGAGUAGCUCCACUGAGUUUCUCACUGAAGUAAGCAAUAGGUCUUUUAUCCUGCAUCAACACAGCACCAAUCCCAAUUCCUGAGGCAUCACAUUCUAUUUCAAAUGUUUUAGAAAAAUCAGGAAGUAUGAGAAGAGGAGAUUGAGUAAGCUUCUCUUUAAGGAGUUGGAAUGCGGCUUCUUGAGCUUCUCCCCACUUAAAUCCUACAUCCUUCUUGAUUAUCUCAGUUAGGGGAGCUGCUAGAGUGCUGAAAUCCUUCACAAAGCGCCUAUAGAAACCUGCCAGUCCAUGAAAACUCCUUACUUCUCCCACUGUAGUUGGACUCGGCCACUCUUGUAUUGCUUUGAUCUUUUCCUGAUCCACCUUUACACCAUCUGCACUUACAACAAAACCUAGAAAGACCAAGUUAUCACUUGUUUUUGCAGUUCUUUGGUUUCAACUGGAUUGGUCCUGUAUGCUGGACGGUUGGGCAGUGUAGAACCAGGUACAAAGUCUAUUUGGUGCUCAAUCCCACACACUGGAGGCAAUCCAAUGGGGCUAUCUUCUGGAAACACAUCUGCAUACUUCUGUAAAAGAGAAACUAGUUCACUCGGAUGAUCCGGUGUGUGAUCAGUAACUGUUAGAAGAGUCCCUUUAAACAUAAGCAAGAUAAUAGAAUUUUGAGAGUAGAGAAUUCUUUUGAUAUCUCCCUGUUUGGCAUAGAGGCUGUGAUGCUUGUCAUGAUCAGGUUUGAGAUCAAUCUCUUUCGCUUUCUUUUUCUGAAGCUGGAUUUGAUCUUCAUGAACCUCUUUAGGAGACAAAGGCACCAGCACAGUCUUCUUUCCGUUGAAUUCAAAAGAAUGUUUGUUGGUGAAGCCAUCAUGAUUCACACGCCUAUCAUACUGCCAGGGUCUUCCAAGGAGUAUAUGACUGGCUUCCAUUGGCAACACAUCACACAAGACUUCAUCUUCAUAUCUACCAAUGGCUAUAGGAACCAGUACUUGAGUAGAAACUCUCAUCUCGCCCUCUUCAUUGAGCCACUGCAAUCUGUAGGGUCUUGGGUGUUUCUGAAUUUUCAAACCCAAUUUCUUCACCAUAGUCUCACUAGCUACAUUGACACAACUUCCUCCAUCAAUAAUGAGACUGCACACCUUUCCCUGAACCAUACACCUUGUGUAGAAUAGAUUCUCUCGCUGCUCAAGCUCUCCAUUCUUGGUUUGCAAGUUCAAGAGCCUUCUUGUCACCAACAAUCUUCCUUUCACAGGUUCUACUUCACUUUCUUCUUCAGACUCCUCAUGAUCAGAACCAAACUUCUCUUCCUCUGAUUCAUACUCUCCAUUCUCAAGAAGAAUCAUAACCUUUUUGUUGGUGCACUCAUUAGCAUAAUGACCACGCCCUUGACAUUUGAAACACUUAACAUCUCUAGUUUUUGAACUAGUGAUUUCAGCUUUGCCUUUGUCUUUGCUGUAUGUGCUGCUCGGCUUAGUCUCUUCUUUCUGCUGAGGCUUGCUAUCCUUCAGAUAGGAUGUUUUCUCCUCCUUAGAGUGGUGGAACUUAGACGAUCCAUAGCUGCGUGAGUUACCCUUCCUCUUAAGCUGCUGCUCCACUAGAAUAGCUUUGUGCAACAUCUCUUCUAUUUCCACAUAGUGUUGCAUCUCCACAUUGUCUUGUAUCUCACGGUUAAGUCCUCCAAGAAACCUUGCCAUAGUAGCUUCUCUAUCCUCCAAGAUACUAGCUCUUAACAUCAGCAACUCCAUGUCUUGAUAGUAUUCUUCAACAGUUCGUGUUCCUUGGGUAAGUCUUCGCAGCUUUUGAUGUAGGUCGCGGUGAUAAUGGCUUGGAACAAACCGUUUGCGCAUGAGUGACUUCAUCUCGUGCCAUGAAUCAACCGGAUUCUCUUGGUUAAGCCGUCUAGUAGUUACAAGUUGCUCCCACCAACUCAACGCAUAAUCAUAGAAUUCAGUUGCUGCAAUCUUGAUCCUUUGGGCAUUAGAGUAGUGUUGGCAAUUGAAGACAAGCUCGAUCUUCUUUUCCCAUUCCAAGUAGGCAUCUGGAUCUACCUUGCCAUGGAAGGGUGGAAUCUUAAGCUUAAGUCCUGAAAGCUUGUCUUUGCGUGACCCCCUUCCAUCAUGUUCACGCCUUGAUCUUCCUCUGCUCAGUUCAGAAGAAGAACUACUGCGCUCAGUUGGGUUGUGCUCAGUUCUAUUGCGCGAGUAGUAGUUGUCGGUCUCUUGUGAACCCGCAUGCUCUUGCCGUACUGGAGUAGGCCGGUUUCUUCUAGACUCAUUGCUAUGUGCCUGGCCAGUAGCUUGCCUCAACUCUUGUCUCAUCUCCUCACGUAAUUCCUUCAUGCUAGCCUUGAGCAUAUCAGCCAUAGUAGAGAUCAUGGUCUGAUUCAUUUGCUCGGUCAUUUGAUCUCUCAGCAUCUUGUUCUUCCUUACUAGCUCGGCUUCUUCUUCUGAUUCUUUCCCCAUUGGUACCUAGAAUCAACAGCAAAACUCAACCAGUAAAUAAUUCUAAUUAAACUGAUCGUAAUCAGUAGAUGAUCAAGAGAUUUUAAACUGAAAUAAACUGGCGGUAAACAGAAAACUUGAUUAUCAAGUAACGAGAAUUCAAAUCGACAACAAGUAAAUCACAAUAGAAACGCGAUCAGGGUAGGUUUGUUAAUCAGAUUUCGAUGUCUCACAAGUAGAUCUAGUUGUUAUAGGUGAUUUAAAACAGAUCUCACAAUCAAUCAGAUUCAAACAAGAGAUCAAAUUGAGAAUAUGAAUCGAUAAUCGAUCGGAUCUAGAAACGCGAAACCUAGAUCUAUCAAUUCAAAACUUCUUACCAAUUUGAUCGACACAAAACGAUUAAAUCACACAAUCAACAACAAUGGUUUACAGAUCAAUCAAUGGAUAUUGCGAAUCAAAGAACAGAUCAGUUGAAACAAAACGGAUAGAUCUAAAACUGAUCAAGAAGAUGAACAGGUUAAAUCGAAACAAAAGAGAAACGAGUACUUCCCUAACCAGAGAUGCUCUGAUACCACAUAAUACGUCCCUAGAUUGCUUCUCUGGAUAGUAUGGGAUAGAUCCUUGCUAGAACGAAUCAAAGACUCAAGCUCUACAAGGUUGUGGAUCGAUUGGUGACACAAGAGGCUGCGGAAAGGCUCCUUGAUACUCCUAAGUGACUAGUUCGGAUAUGACACACCGAGAUAGACACUCUUGGGUUGUUGGAUACUACACACCAACAAGAACACUCAACAACUCGCGGACAAGCAGUAGAGAGAACAAAGAAAGGUUUAUGAUAAAAGAUAAUUGAUUAUUGAUAAGGGGUUCAAAGUGCACUUAUAUAAGAGAAGUUGGAACAGACUCCAAGCUUCUCGAAAACUAUCAAGAGAGUAAAGGCACACGCUCUCUUGGAAAUAGAAACAAGUGACAAGUUUGAAAACCAAAAACAUGAAAUGAAAUACAUAAUAUAACAUAAGGUUGAUCCGGGAUAAGGUUGGAUCGAGAUCAUCAACUAAAGGUUUUGAGAAGCAAAUCUAUGGCCUCGUUAAAAACCUAUCUUUGGAAAACCCAUUGGGACAAAACCAAAGAUAGGGAAAAAGAGCACGCAUAGAUUGCUUGCUUAGUUGAUGAUCAGCUUGAUGGUGAAGUAGCUUGAAUGGUGAUAAGUGUGUCUUGGUUGAUCAAGCUUCUACCAAGACAUUCCUCUUGGUUCCAUGACAUCUUAACCAAUCCUCCAAUAACUUGCGUGAGCUUCCUUGAUCUUGAUCGAGUCAUAGCUUCCAUGACCUCUUAACCAAUCCUCCAAUAACUUGCAUGAGCUUCCUUGAUCUUGAUCGAGUCAUAGGUCCUUUAGGCAAGGCUAGAACAUCUCCAUCAGUUGGCUUAUCCAGAUCCUUAUUAUCUCCAUUAGCUAGUUGGUCCAUGAUCACAUCAUCCCCUCCCUCUUGAAAAGGAUUUGUCCUCAAAUCUGGCUCAUCUGCAACAAAAGGGAUCAAGUCAGUAACAUUCAUCUGCAAUAAAAGGGAUCAAGUCAGUAACAUUGAAGCUAUCACUUAGGUCGUACUUACCUUGCAGAUCAAGUUUGUAGGCAUUGUCAUUGAUCCUCUUGGUGACUUCAAAAGGGCCAUCAAUCCUCGGCAUUAGCUUAGACUUCCUCUCUUUUGGAAACCUUUCUUUCCUCAAGUGAACCCAUACUUGAUCUCCAACUUCAAAGAUCAUCUCACGCCUUCCCUUGUUGGCUUGUUUGGCGUAUUGCUUAGUUUUCUCUUCUAGAUUGCGCUUAGCUUGCUCAUGAAUCUGCUGAACCAUCUCAGCUUUCUUUUUCCCAUCCAUACUAACCCUUUCACACUCAGGUAAAGGUAUUAGAUCCAAAGGUGAGAUGGGAUUGAACCCAUAAACAAUUUCAAAAGGAGAAAACUUAGAAGCAGAAUGCAUAGCAUGAUUGUAUGCAAAUUCACAAUGAGGCAAGUAAUCUUCCCAUGAUUUCAAGUUCUUUUUGAUGAAUGCACGCAGGAGAGUACCUAAGGUUCUAUUAACUACUUCAGUCUGCCGAUCAGUUUGUGGAUGACAAGUAGUAGAAAACAAUAGCUUAGUUCCUAGUUUAGACCACAAUGUUUUCCAAAAGUAGCUAAGGAAUUUAGUGUCUCUAUCUGAAACUAUAGUCCUAGGCAUUCCAUGCAAACGUACCACUUCUUUAAAGAACAAAUUAGCUACAUGUAAUGCAUCAUCAGUUUUAUUGCAAGCUAUGAAAUGUGCCAUUUUAGAGAAUCUAUCAACAACCACAAAGAUAGAAUCCUUUCCAGUCCUAGUUCUAGGCAAUCCCAUAACAAAAUCCAUAGAUAUAUCAUUCCAAGGAUGAGUAGGAAUAGGCAAAGGAGUAUACAAACCGUGGGGUUGAACUUUAGACUUUGCAAGCUUGCAAGUUGUGCACCUUCCACAGAUUCUCUCCACAUCUCUUUUCAUAUGCGGCCAAUAGAAGUGAUCCUGCAAAACUUUAAGGGUUUUUGCUAUACCAAAAUGACCCAUCAAGCUUCCUCCAUGGGAUUCUCUGACAAAUAGAUCUCUCAAAGAGCAAUUAGGCACACAUAAACGAUUGUCAUAGAAUAAGAAUCCAUCAUGCCUAAAAUAAUGUCCUGAAGCAUACUUAGCACAUGAUUUAUAAGCUUCUUGAAAGUCAGGAUCAGAUUCAUACAUUUCUUUAAUCUGCUCAAAGCCUAGCAACUUAGCAUCAAGAGUAGUUAAGAGGACAUACCUUCGGGAUAGUGCAUCAGCAACUAUAUUCUCCUUACCUUGUUUGUAUUUGAUCACAUACGGGAAGGUUUCAAUGAAUUCUACCCAUCUAGCAUGUCUCUUGCUGAGCUUACUUUGUCCUUUAAGAUACUUGAGAGAUUCAUGGUCGGUGUGAAUGACAAACUCCUUUGGCCAGAGAUAGUGCUGCCAAGUCUGUAGAGCUCUCACCAAGGCGUAGAGUUCUUUGUCAUAAGUGGCAUAGUUGAGAGUAGCUCCACUGAGUUUCUCACUGAAGUAAGCAAUAGGUCUUUUAUCCUGCAUCAACACAGCACCAAUCCCAAUUCCUGAGGCAUCACAUUCUAUUUCAAAUGUUUUAGAAAAAUCAGGAAGUAUGAGAAGAGGAGAUUGAGUAAGCUUCUCUUUAAGGAGUUGGAAUGCGGCUUCUUGAACUUCUCCCCACUUGAAUCCUACAUCCUUCUUGAUUAUCUCAGUUAGGGGAGCUGCUAGAGUGCUGAAAUCCUUCACAAAGCGCCUAUAGAAACCUGCCAGUCCAUGAAAACUCCUUACUUCUCCCACUGUAGUUGGACUCGGCCACUCUUGUAUUGCUUUGAUCUUUUCCUGAUCCACCUUUACACCAUCUGCACUUACAACAAAACCUAGAAAGACCAAGUUAUCUGUGCAAAAAGUGCACUUCUUUAGAUUGGCAUAUAGCUUUUCCUUUCUCAAAACAUCCAAAACAGCCCUAAGAUGUUCUAUAUGAUCUUCUAAGCAUUUGCUGUAAACUAAGAUAUCAUCAAAGUACACAACAACAAAGAUGCCUAUGAAAGACCUAAGAAUAUGAUUCAUCAAUCUCAUGAAUGUACUAGGCGCAUUGGUUAAUCCAAAUGGCAUAACUAACCAUUCAUACAAGCCAUGUUUAGUUUUAAACGCAGUUUUCCACUCAUCUCCUUCUUUCAUCCUAAUCUGAUGAUAUCCACUUUUCAAAUCUAUCUUAGAAAAGAUGCAAGACCCAUGUAAUUCAUCAAGCAUAUCAUCUAAUCUAGGAAUAGGGUGGCGAUACUUCACUGUUAUGUUGUUGAUUGCUCUACAAUCAACACACAUGCGCCAGCUCCCAUCUUUCUUUGGCACAAGGAGCACUGGAACUGCACAAGGACUCAAACUCUCUCGGAUAUGACCCUUCUCCAUCAGCUCCUCUACUUGUUUUUGCAGUUCUUUGGUUUCAACUGGAUUGGUCCUGUAUGCUGGACGGUUGGGCAGUGUAGAACCAGGUACAAAGUCUAUUUGGUGCUCAAUCCCACGCACUGGAGGCAAUCCAAUGGGGCUAUCUUCUGGAAACACAUCUGCAUACUUCUGUAAAAGAGAAACUAGUUCACUCGGAUGAUCCGGUGUGUGAUCAGUAACUGUUAGAAGAGUCCCUUUAAACAUAAGCAAGAUAAUAGAAUUUUGAGAGUAGAGAAUUCUUUUGAUAUCUCCCUGUUUGGCAUAGAGGCUGUGAUGCUUGUCAUGAUCAGGUUUGAGAUCAAUCUCUUUCGCUUUCUUUUUCUGAAGCUGGAUUUGAUCUUCAUGAACCUCUUUAGGAGACAAAGGCACCAGCACAGUCUUCUUUCCGUUGAAUUCAAAUGAGUGUUUGUUGGUGAAGCCAUCAUGAUUCACACGCCUAUCAUACUGCCAGGGUCUUCCAAGGAGUAUAUGACUGGCUUCCAUUGGCAACACAUCACACAGGACUUCAUCUUCAUAUCUACCAAUGGCUAUAGGUAUGACUUUUAGGAAUGUAAAGAAUUAUCUGAGUUUAGAAAGGAUUAGAGAACGAGAAUAAGAGAUUAAGAGACAACUUAGAGACUAAUGGAGAAUCAUAGUGAAAUGUGUAAAGAGAAAGAUUGUUUAGAACUGUCUAAUCUUUAUUAAGAGAUGAGAUUACAUAUAUAUAGGUCCAUACACUUAGGGUUUUCGAAAUCAUAAAGCUAAGUAAGCAUGUAGAGUCAAAGAGGAGCCUAAGCUUUAAUUUGAACCGGCCAAUGAGUGUCUUCACACGUUUGGAGCAUCUUCUUGAUCCAAGACUAGAUGCUCUUCCUUUCCAGCUCUUGCCAGCCUGUCCUAGCUGUCAAGCCGCGUCUCCCUUAUCCUCUCAACGUUCGGAUAAGGUCUUGGCCGAGUGUAACUUAUGCUCAGUACAUGGGAGUUACUUGGAUAGUUACUGGAUCCCUUUUUACCUUGUACGGAUGAUCACUUGUACGGCCUUGUACGGAUGAUCAACCCAUUCCUCCUCUUCACCUCUUUGCUCUCUUUAUGUUCUCAACUCCUUUGUGUCUUUACCUCAAAUGUCUCAACUCUGAUUAACACUCCCCCUCAAGCUUAGCUUUGUGAAAGUCUAAGCUUGGACAGCCAUGAGAUCUUCCUCAUUAAAAACCUUACCAAGGAAAACCCAUUGGGAUAAAACCUUGAUAAGGGAAAAAGAGUAAAGACCUCACAGCCAAAGGGGAUCAGCUCCUUCUCUUCCCAAGAUCAAUGAGGCCCAACCUGAUGUGAAUGGACUCUAUUGUCUUCUGUCUUGCAGCCUUGGUGAACACAUCCGCUAACUGAUCUUCACUUCUUGUGUAGCAUGGCAAGAUGACUCCUAAGAUGAUCAUCUGCCUCACCUUGUGACAAUCCACUUCAAUGUGCUUGGUUCUCUCAUGGAACACCGAGUUGGAGGCAAUGUGGAUGGCAGCUUGGUUAUCACAAUGCAUUGUCAUUGGCGUGGCUUGAUCAAUCUCCAAAUGCUUCAAGAUGCCCUUGAUCCACACCAGCUCGUUGGUCAGCUUCAGCAUAGCUCUAUACUCAGCUUCUGCACUUGAGCAAGACACCACCUUCUGCUUCUUACUCUUCCAAGUAACCAAGUUGCCUCCAAUGAAUGUGCAAUAGCCUGUGGUUGAUCUCCUGUCUGCUCUAUCACCAGCCCAAUCCGCAUCACAGUAUCCAACCACUUCAGUGCUCCCAUUGCAACCCAUCCAUACUCCUUGAUCAGGUGAGCCGUUGAGAUACAUCAAGAUCCUCUCCACCAUGCGCCAAUGAUGUUCCUUAGGCACUUGCAUGUGUUGACUCACCUGAUUCACAGCAAAGCAAAUGUCAGGCCUAGUUAUGGUAAGGUAAAUCAAUUUGCCAACUAGCUUUCUAUAGAGUUUAGGAUCCUGAUAAGGUUUGCUGUCUUCAAUCUCCCCCUCUCGUGGGACUUUGUAGCCAUCCUCCAUAGGCAUCCUUGCUGUCUUGCCUCCAUAAGCACCUGCACCUUUCAAAAGAUCAAGUGUAUACUUCCUUUGGGACAUGAACAAACCUUCCUUGGAUCUACAUAUCUCAAUUCCAAGAAAGUCUUUCAUUUCUCCCAAGUCUUUAAUCUCAAACAUGGAUUUAAGGAACUCCUUGGUUGCUAUGAUACCUUCCUUAUCACUUCCUGUGAUAAUGAUAUCAUCAACAUACACAAGGAGUGCAAUCAUACCUGAGGAAGUAGUGAGAGUGAAGAGGGUGUGGUCUAGUUCAGACUUCUUGAAGCCUCGUCCAUUCAGAGUAGUACUCAGCUUGUUGUACCAAGCUCUUGGUGAUUGCUUCAGUCCAUAGAUAGCUUUCUUCAGUCUCAACACAUUCCCUCUCUUCACUAAGUGUUCCAAGCCUGGAGGUGGAUGCAUAUACACUUCAUCCUCCAGCUCUCCUUGUAGAAAUGCAUUCUUCACAUCCAUUUGCCAUAAGCCCCAUCCAAGAUUCACAGCCAAGCUUAAUACAAUCCGGAUUGUGUGCAGUUUAGCUACUGGUGCAAAGGUCUCAAUGUAAUCCUCUCCAUAAGUUUGAGUGAAACCUCCUGCAACCAGUCUUGACUUCUUCCUCUCAACUGUUCCAUCAGCCUUAUACUUGAUUGUGAAGAUCCAUCUACUAGUCACAGCCUUCUUCCCUUUUGGUAACUCACUCUCAUACCAUGUAUCAUUCUUGAUCAUAGCUCCUGCCUCAGCUCCAACUGACUCCUUCCAUUCUUUAUCCAUGAUUGCUUCUUCAUAGCUUCUUGGGAUGUAGUUCUCAUCCAAGUUAACCAUGAAGGCACAAUGUUCUUCAGGGUAUUGAGCAAAGGAACACACAACUUGAGAAGGAUGCUCCACAGCUUGGGCAUUGUAGUACACUCGCGUGUUUACCCAAGAGGAAGGAUCCUUUCUCAGCCUUGUGCUCCUCCUCAAUACUGGUUGUUCUUGCUCUUGAACCGGCUCAGCUUGUGUAUGCGGUUCUUGUGCUUCACUCUGAUGUUCUUCCUCUCCUUGGUCUUGCUCACCUUGAUGAUGAGAACCUGAGUUGAACUCUCCUUCCUCACUCAAGCCGACUCCUUCUUGGCCAUUUUCUUGAGUUUCAGGUUCACUUCCCCCCUCAUGAUCAAGGUGAGGUGUUUGAGCAGCUCCACUUGGUGCAGUUGAGCUCUCUUCUUGUCUUCCACUUCUUGUGGAUUGAUCCUGGUUCAUCUUGAUACCGAGACCUUCCAAAAUGAUUCUUAAGACUCCAGCCUUAUCUGAUGUGAGAUCCUUCAAAUCUUCUUGAUUCUUCUCCUCAUAGUAUCCUCUUUCUUCAAUGAACUUCACAUCUCUAGAUACAAGCACCCUUCUAGCUUCUGGAUCAUAACACUUAUAUCCUUUUUGAGUUGUUGAGUAGCCAAUGAACAUUGCCUUUCUGCUUCUUGCUUCUAGCUUGUUCCUCAACUCUCCUGGUACUAAAACAUAGCAUAAGCAUCCAAACACUCUCAUGUAUUCCAAGGAUGGCUUGCGCUUGUUCAGAACUUCAAAUGGUGCUUGAUCCUUCAACACCUUUGUAGGCAUCCUGUUGAUUAGAUAGCACGCAGUGGAUACAGCAUCACUCCAGAAUCUCUUUGGUACAUUCGCUUGGAACAUCAGUGACCGAGCCACUUCCAUCAAGUGCCUGUUCUUCCUCUCAGCUACACCAUUCUGUUGUGGUGUGUAGGGACAGCUUGUUUGAUGAAGGAUUCCAUGGUGAUCUAGAUGACUCUUGAACGCAUAGCUUGUGUACUCUCCUCCAUUAUCUGAUCUCAAAAUUUUAAUCCUAGCAUGAUAAUGGUUAGUCACAUAAGCUUGAAAGUUCUUGAAUGCAUCUAUCACCCUAUCUUUUGAUGGAAUGAGUGUUAACCAGGUGUAUUUAGAUUUUUCAUCAAUGAAUGUGACAAAAUACUUAUGAUUAUCUCUAGAAAAACUAGGUGCAGUCCACACAUCAGUAUGAAUCAAAUCAAAGCAAUUUUCAUAAACAGUAGAUGUUCUUGGAAACACAUUCUUACAAUGCUUGCCUAAAAUGCAAGCCUCACACUUAUUAUUUUCAAAAACCACACCUGGUAACAUCAAGUUUAAAGCCCUCUCAUGGGGAUGACCUAAUCUAGCAUGCCACAAUGCAUUUUUAUUCAAACUAGAAGCAGAAGUAAAUGAGCAGUUAUAAUUGGAAACAGGAUCAAGCUUCUCAAGCAUGUAUAAGUCUCCCUUUGUAACUCCUUUUCCAAUCAAUUGGCUGCUCUCAAUAUCCUGAAACUUCACAUCAUUAGGACUGAAUAUAACAUUGCAAUUCAAAUCAGUAGUGCAUUUCUUAACUGAAAGAAGUUUGAUGUGAAUUCCGGAAUGUAAAAUGCUCUAGUGUUCUUAUCAAAUAGUUUUAAGUUUCCUAUUCCCUUAAUAGGUAUCUUAUCCCCAUUUGCAAUCAUCACACAUCCAUUAGUAGGUUCUAUAUCCUUAAUCAAGUUGGUGUCACUAAUCAUAUGAUGAGAUGCACCUGAAUCUAUAAUCAAUGGUUUGGAUGUAUUGCUAGCACUAUGGCAGAUGCUAAUUUGUGAUCUAUAUGCAUUCAUCCUAGCAUUUCUAUCAAUGCAAUGCUCAAUUCCAGUCUUACUAUCAAUCCUAGCAAUCUCAGCCACAUUAGGAGUCAUUUCUAUAGUUCUAGCAAUCAUAGAAGCACCAAAUGAAUACCCAUGAAUGUUACCAUUAUCCUUGAGCAUUUUGAUGAGUGCAUCCAUCUCGGAUCUCCUGAUGAAGUCUUGAUCAUUGCCUCGGGGGUUGAUAGCUCCAGUAUAGGUCACCAAAGCCUUUCCAUCUCCUUCACGGUUCUCCACUUCAGCUCCUCGGUUAGAUGGCCCUGCUCCGCUUGAUCCUUCAGUCAUGUGAGCUUUUGCCUCUCUCUCCUUCAUGAACUUAGCCGGCUUCAAGUGGGGAUGGAGUAUCCAGCACUGACUCUUCUUGUGUCCAUGCUUCUUGCAAUGAUCACAAUUCCCAUUGAACUUCCUAUCCUCAUACUUGUUGUAACCAGCUUUGUUGGCUUGUGGAGGCUCUUCCCGGUCAGGUUGCACAGCAUUUGCAAGAGAUAAGUCUCCCUUGCCUCCAAACAAACCCAUCGAGCCCUGUUCCUUCUGUAUCUUAGCACACACCUCUUCAAGGUCAGGCAGCUUCUCAGACCAUAGCAUGUGCUGGAUGAGGCCACUGUAACUUGCAUUCAACGUGAGCAGCAACCCAAAGACCUUGUCCUGCUCACGCCUCUCAUUUAGAAGCUCUGGAUCAACCGUGCUUGGCCUCAGAAUCUCCAACUCAGACCAAAGAGACCUGAACCUCCCCAAGUGCUUAGUGAACUCCGUGUCAUCUUGAGUUAACCCAUUGAUUGCCUUCUUGACUUCAAACACUCGGUUCAGGUUAGAAGUGUUUCCAUACACUUUCUGUAAAGUAUCCCACAGCUCCUUGGCUGUCUCACAGUAGCUAUAAGCAUCUAGUAUAGCCGGCUCCAAAGAGGCAUGAAGGACUGACAUCACCAUCAUGUCUUCUUGUUGCCACUUCUCUACAACACUCUCCUCGGGGCUCUCCUUUUCACCCUCCUG